Molecule: long non-coding RNA, 61476 nt
Filed under: Citrus sinensis (sweet orange)
Lineage: Eukaryota; Viridiplantae; Streptophyta; Magnoliopsida; Sapindales; Rutaceae
Description: long non-coding RNA (CSIN_LNC002248)
Source: RNAcentral
UGUUGGAGCAAUUCUUAGUGGAGGCAGCCCGCCACUGCAUGGGCACUACCUAAAAUGGGGAUCUUGUCUAAGUGGGGAUGGUCCGCCACUAUUCAAUGUAACCUAAAUAAUAGUGUAUGGGCAAAGCACUAGGGUAGUGGGCUCAUUUUUAUAUCUUCAAAGUUUUUUGUGCAGAUUUUUAUUUUUUUUGGGGUUCCGGGGGUUGAGUUGACAUUUUUUUAACGGGUAAUUAUCAGAAACCUCCCCUAAGGUUUGGUAUAUUUUCAGUUUAAUAGAUUGUAUUCGUAUAUUUUUAAAAACCUCCCCCGACGUUAGUAUACUGUUAAUUUGACCGUUUGUUGCAUGAUAAAAUGACAAAUAAAAAAUUGUUGGUUCGUACUAGCAUGUUUGUUCUGGCGCCAGGGAAGGCGAAUACAAUGAAAAUACCAAAUCAUCCCUACUACUUUCCAAAAUGACUUUGAUGAAUGAAACAAAGAAAAGAUUUGAGUCAAAUAUCGCAGAAUUAGAAGGAAGCUUUUUUGCACUUUGCCUCAUUGCUUUGCUUUCUGCAUCAAAUUUCUUUCAAUCUUGGUGAAGAUUUUGCUUUAUUUAAUAUAAGAAGAGUAAAAAAAGUAGGUUGUUUUUUACACAAGUGAUAGAAAUACUUUUGAAUUUAGAUAAUGUUACACUAUUCAUGUCAAAGAAAUAAGAUGAUGAAGCCAUUUCCCCAUAUAUAUAGCCAACGAAUUAGUAUUUGGUACAGGAGAUGCAAUAGAAUUUUAAAUUUUAUUCCUAUAGGGCUACAAGUGAUACAAAUGAAUACACAAAUCGACCAUCACUAGCUUAACAAAAAGAUGAUCGAAUGCGUAAACAUGAAAAAAGUCUGCAAAUUGUAUACAUGGUAACUAUGCCUAAGUAAAAUAACAACUUUGAUUGAUAAUACCACCAGCAACAGGAGCUUCAUACCUUCUUUAUUAAUCGCUAGCUGGUAUGCUAUAGCUCAUCCAAGUGUAAAAUGAAUGGCAAUUGAGAUUUCGAGCCUCUAUAUACCCUUAAUAAGUUUUCCCCAACUUCAUCACGGACUACAAUUGCAAUAAGCAAUAGAAAAAUAAUCAUGAUACAAUGAGUCACAUAUACAGCAUGAACCUGCUUUAUAUAUAUCCAAGAGUCUGAAGAUAGAUACUUGGAGCUUGAUUUGCGAAAUGAUCUGUCAGGAAAGUCUCGAUGCAAAAUCUUCGUCCAUAUUUCAAACAAAAACAAGCAUAUCAAUCCUUUGCCCAGCGACAUUCCUAUAUAUGUAAAGCUUCUCAACAGGGAGCGUUGGCCUUGAAUCUGGGGGUCCACUCUUGUCAAUAACUUUAACAUUCAGUAUGGAUAUCCAAAUACACUGAAAUUUUCAUUUAUAACUCGAACAAAUAAGACAGGAAUUAUCCAAAGACACUGCAAUUUUGGACAUUGGCUAACAAGCUUGAUUAUGUCAGGACUUUGUAUAGCGACAUAGCUCAGAUUCUAGGUUGUUAGGCCAGAGAAAACAGAUUUGACAUAUCACAAUAUUUGACAACACAACCAGGCUGCAACUACAACCAAUUUUCCAAAGUUCUACCAAUCUCUAACCCAGUACAUUGCCUAAUCAAUCUUCUUGAAUAAUAUAGGCAGCAGCGAUUAUAAAACAAUUAUCUCCAGCCAACCCGGUAUGCCAGAAGCCAAAUCUAGAGCAGAGAAGGUUUUGUGAAUCUCCUAAAAAAUAAUCCAAUCUUUAAAUUAACAAAGACUGGCAUGAAUCCAUAUUCAACAAUCAGCAACAGUACCUUAAACGAAUAAAAAGUUUUCAGAGCCAUUUUCAAUCAAUCACAAGUGAACAUGCAUUUGCAGCAAUCAUUAACCUACAACUAACACUAAUCGACGGGACAAAAAAAAGGAAGAAACAAAAAAUUCUCAAAAAAUUUUCGAGACCCAUUAUUCUUUUUUUAACCAAAUCUCCUAAUUUCAGCUAACAAAUUUGACAUGCACGGAAAUAAUCUGAUUCGUACCUUAUUUGCGGCUCGAAAACACUGGGAUUAUUUGUGGGUCGAAUGCAAAAGUCAUUGGUCGAUAUCCUUCCACAUAGCCAUCGUGAAUCAGUCGUCUCUAGUAUUGGCGUCUCUGAAUUCAGUGUCAUGAUCUCCCAUUUGUGAGCAAGCCUUUUAAUCAAAGCACUAAAGAGAAGAUAAAAGGGAUGUUGUGUUUCAUGGCUUCGAUUUGAAUAGAGGAAAGAGAGGAACAUAUUUCCUUUUGUUUUUAAGUGGGUGUUAAUGUCUGCUGGGUAAAGGCUUUGCUUUUGUUCUUUACCCAAUGGACAUUCACAAAAUUGAGACCAAUUUCAAAACCCAACGUGAAAUUUUUCAAGCCCCAACGUGACAAUUUUCAAGCUUUCUUAAUUUUUUUUGGGUUAUUUCCACCCAACCCCCAAAUGUUUUGACAUUUUUCGCCCCGCACCCAAAUGUUUCGACAAUGCUCACUCCACACCCAAUUCCGUUAAUUUGACGGUUAUGUUUAACGGAGCUAUUUGAAAUUUAAGUAAAUGUCCGAAAUACCCCUUAUCUUGAAUUAGAGAAGAAUAAAAUGAGAUAAAAUGUUAAUUUAAUAAUUAAUAUUUACAUUAAAAAAUUUAUUUAAAGGUAAUUAAUAAUAAUCCCAUCAAUUAAAUUAUCAAAUAAAUUUAAUUUAUCAUCAUCAAAUAAUAUUUAGGGCAUGAAUUUCCAAAUUUGCCGUUUGACCGUUAGAAUAAAUGGUCAAAAUAACAUAUUUGGGUGUGGAGUGAGUAUUGUUGAAACAUUUGGGGACGCGGUGAAAAAUGUUGAAACAUUUGGGGGCAGGACGGAAUUAACCCAUUUUUUUUUAUCAUUAAUGGGUCUUUUUACAAUUUUAUCCUCACCAACCAAUUUAUACGAAACGGUAUACUAACGCUAGGGGAGGCAUUUGAAAAUACUUGAAUACAAUCUAUCAAACUGAGAAUAUGCUAAACCUCAGGAGAGGUUUGUGAUAAUUACCCUUUUUUUAACCGCUAUAAGCAUAUAUAACUCGUAAAUGGAUGAUGGACGUCUUUGAUGGGAUUAAAAGGACGUUUGGUACAGCAAUUAAACGAUAGUAUAUAGAACAUAUUUCAUCCUUCCAAUUGAGAAUAGAAAAAAAAAUCUAAAAAAAAUUGAAACUUCAUUUUUAAUUCAAGGUAUUCGAUGGAGACGGGAGAGAGAAGGUUAGAAAUUAAGAGAUGAGGGAUGGUUGUUAAUUAUAAGAUUAUUUUUGCCUUUUUUUUUAUUUCUAAUGAAUGAGGAAUUCAUUCAAUUUUAAAAAAAAAAACUAGUUUUUUUUAACUAGAAAUUAACUAGUUUUUUUUUUUUUUAAAGGAAUUCUAGCACGGGUUAUAUUUAGAAGGUAUCUGGGCCCCUCUUUCAAUUUGGGCUGGGUAUAGCCCAAGUUUUGACUCCAUAACCACUUGCUCCGUCCUACAUUUGAGUUUUGUUACAGAAGUAUAUUUACAAGGUUAUUGAUUUUAGUUAGCAAAGCCACGCAUGGCAGAAGAUGAGUGCAGAAAAGAAAAGAAAGAAAAAUACAAAAUGGAAAGCAAAGACCCCAUCGAGAUUCGAGCCUCCAAGACUUUAUUUUAUUUUAUUUUUGAAAAACUCGAAGACUCUAUUUAUGUAUACAUUUACAUUGAGAGCUCGUAAAGACAAAUGUGGUAGGACCAGCUUGGCAAGUCUUUUAUUUUUAUUUUUAAAUUUUUUUUUCUAUUUGGAGAAUUAAUUAUUUGUAUAAAUUGAAAUGACGUAAAAAUAUAUAUUGUUUUAGAAAAAAUUAAUAAAAAUGAUUAUAUAGAUCAUUUGAUGGUAUUAUCUAAUUAAUAUCUAUGUCAUGUCAUUUUAUUUAAAAAGUCGGUGAUUGUCACCGUUAGGAACUUUACUAUAUAAUUUUUAAAUAAUUUUAUUUAAUUAAUUAUUAAAUUUAAAUCUUGAUAGAGAUGAAGCGUUAAACAAUUAAGAAAAAUUUCAUUCGUAUACCUUAAAUUUAUACUUUUAUCAAGAAUAUUACAAUAUUUUAACGGUGUAUCAAUCGUCCACCUUAAAUUGACAAAAGUUAUCUGCCAAUCACUAAAUUGUUAGUUGUCGUUUGAAAGUUAACGGAACUAUAGUGAAUUAACAAUUUUACCCUUAAAAAUUAUCCUUUGUAUACCCUUAAAAUCUCUUAUUAUCACUUAUAUACCCUUAAAUUAUCACUUGUAUCAUAUGAAAAAAUUAUAUCACUCCUCUAACAUCAUCAUAUUUAAACAGCAACUAAUGGUUUGGUGGACGGUAAAUACAUUUUGUCAACUUAGGGUGGAGGAUUGAUAUACCCUGAAAGUGUUGUAGUAAAUUUGAUAACGGAACAAAUUAAUGAUAUACGGUUGAUAAUUCCCCAAAAAUUAAUUAAGCAUUGUCUACACCUCUUUCUUUUUUUUUUUUUUUAGCAUCAAUCGCCAGGUAAAAGUAGCAGUACAAGAAAUUGUAUGUAAGGCAAGAACAGGAGACCAAUUUUAAAAAGUUGGUGAUGGUCAAAAGUCGUUCACUAUAGACUCGUGCUCAUUAGUCAACAUCGGUGGCGUGGCAAGAUGCUCCAUAUUAUCCGAUGUUGGCACUUGGCAGGGUGGCUUGUUUUAAAAUUUUUAUUAGCAAUUUAUUUGGAUCCGGCUACGGUACCACCGUGCCACUUCUUUUAUUUUUUAUGGCUGUGUUAUAGUAAAUUUUCAUGUAACCCUUUUCACUCAUUUUUAUUUAAGCUUUGCUUUACAAAUAUUAAGUUAAUUUCUACUACAUCCAUAUAAAUAUUUUAGUUAACACCUUAUAUUAUUUAUUAUUUAUAAACUUUUAUUCUAUAUUAUACCUAUAUCACAAUACCCCACUCUUUAUAAUUUUGAGAUUAAAUAAUUAACAAGGAAAAGAACUGGAUCGACCCGAACUCGUAAACCCAACCCGGAUUCCGUUUCCAUUUCCGGCCACUCCACCGCCCAAGGUUGGUACCGAUCGAAAGAUCGUGCGACGCCGGUCAUCUCCAUGUCAUCUUUGUCGUAAAAAGAACCGGGUCAAACCGAACCCGCAAACCCAACCCGCAUGCAGUUUCCGUUUCCGGCCACUCCACCGGCCAAGGUUGGUACCGAUCGGAAGCUCGUGCGACGCCGGUCAUCUCCAUGCCAUCCUUGUCACCGGAAAGCGUUCGAAAAACUGCCGAUCGAAGCCGUGAAAAGCCGCUUCAAUUCGCCACGAUUUUGCCGGUUUCCGGUGACGCCACCACCUGAGUUUUGUUCCCCACAAUUCCCUCUGUCUUUUACGACCAGCCACAGCCACCAGAGGAGUUGAUUUGCCGUUGAUCGGACGUUGAAGGAUUCACGGGUUUGGGAGAAAUUAACUUAAUAUUUGUGAAGCAAAGUUUAAAUAAAAAUUAGUGAAAGGGAUUAUAUGAAAAUUUACAAUAACACAAUCAUAAAAAACAAAAGAAGUGGCACGGUACCACUGUGGUACCGUAGCCGGAUCCAAUUUAUUUGCAGCAAGUUGAUGGAUUGGAUGACCUAAUUUCCUUUCACCUGCUCUCUCUCACAUAUUUUAAAAAAGAACCGGAAACUAUUUCUGCGACGGAAUAUUCCAUGCUGAAAAAUAAAUAUUCCGAUUUCAAUGAAAACAAAAUAAAAAUGCAUCUCGAAAUGGCUUACAUCCACUCCCCUCUGUAAUUUACAUUUAUUGUAACUACAAUCAGCCAAUUUCAUCCGUUAGAUUUCAAUCAACGCAUAAGAGAUCAUUUAUGCAAAAUGAGUAGCAGGUGGGCCAUUAGUUGGAUUGUCUUACUCUUAUGGGCUCUAAUAAGACCCAAAAUUAAAAUAAUAAAAUGAGUAGGCUUUCUGGCACCCCUUAAAAAUCAAAAUUCUUUGUAAAACCCUUUCAGAUGAGAUUACUUAAAUAACUAAAACUAAUUAAUUCAUUUCUUAUUUAAAAUGGAAAUGAAACCUUCUUUUAAAAUUUUUUUUACAUCCAUCCUCUUUCAUAGUUUAUAUUUAUUUUUAAAUUUUAAUUAAAAAAAUAAUCAGUGUUGAGAAAAUUAUAAAAAUUUAGGAUUAUGGAGAUAAAAAUUUUAUAAUUUCAGAUUUUAAGAUUUUUAUGCUUUUUAUAAAUAAAAAUUUGAAAGAAAUAUUAAUUUUUGAGUAAAAUUUUAUGAUAAGAUGGUUGAUUUUAAUAUAUAAUCAGUAUUUUAUAAAUUAACCUGAGGUAUUAUAAGAAAUAAAAUUUAAAAGUGGGUUGAUGGAAGCAUUUUAGAGAGAUGUUAAAACCUCCACUAUAUUAAAAUUUCAAAUUGACUCUGAAAACAUAAACGCAGAUUUUCUUUCUAUGUGAAUUAGAAAGAAAAGAGAGGAAAUAUUAGCAAGGUUAAUUGCCAAUUGAGCUUUCCACAAAUAUUCCAACUGAACUUGUUCCUAGCUUGCAGCUGUUCAAUAUCUCCGCAGAUUUUCUCUACUUCAUCUUCCACAGUCCCUUAUCUUUUUCCAGUACAUUUUCUCAUCUUCAUUUUCAUAAUCAAUUUUUUCCUGAUUAAAUAAAAGGGGAAAAAAAAACCUGUUCCUUUUCUUUGUUCUGCGUAAUUUCGUUACUUCAUCCUCUUGAUCAAGUCCUUUUGUUUCCUUCAAUUUUUUUUUAAAAGAAGGUAAAAAUAUCUAUCACUGGAGAGGCCAUUCUAACAGUCACUGUUGAGAUGUUGGUUGAAAAGCUGGCUUCGGAGGUGAUUCAGUUAUUUGCACGCCAAGAACAAAUCGAAGCUGAUCUUAAGAAAUGGGAGGAGCUAUUGGUGACGAUCAAGGUGGUCCUGGAUGAUGCCGAGGAGAAGCAGAUAAUGUUGAAAAUUGAUUAAAAAAAAAAAGAAGAACAAAGAAAGGUAGCUUCAAAUUUGUUGAUCAAAUUUGAUGGCUAAGCCACUAAUUUUGAUCAAGAUUGGUGGGCUUGAUUUUAGGCAAAAUCUUGCCUAUAAAAGGAAGCUCUCAUUCGAGAGCUUGGUAUCCAAAUCCAAGAGAAGCAAUCCAAUUGAGAGCAUUCAAUUGGUGAAUGCAAGUGAAGCAUUGAGAGCUUCCAACAUGGGAGAGAAAUAUUCUUAAGCAUGUAGUUAUAUUGAAGGAGCAUUUGGCUCCUUAAUAUGGGUAUUACGAGUUUGCUUUGUUAAGGGGUAUUUCUCAGGAUUAUGUAUUUGGGGCUUGGGUGAGAAAUUUAUUUCUGAGAGUGUGGUUGUAAUAAUUUUCCACAUAGUGAAUAUUUUUCUCUGGUUGUCUUGUGACAACGGCUGUGGUUUUUCUCCGGAUUUGGAGUUUUCCACAUAAAUCUUGUGUUGUUUGAUUGGUGUAUGCUCCAUUUAAUUUUCUUAUUAAUUUGUUGCUUGAUAAAUUACUUGGAGUGAUCUUGGGAGGAAGUUCAAUUUCCUAACAGUGGUAUCAGAGCCCUUGAUUGAAGUUUUGGUGUCAGGGUACUAUUCACGUAUACGGUACUGUUCACGUGAAGCAAUAGGAGCCAAUCCAAAUAAUAUGUGGUGAAGAGAAUAGGAAGCAAAUAUGUCAGCAGCUGGUGUUUUUCAAAAUUGGUUGAAGUUUGAUGUUGUUGAAAAAUUAAUGGGAGAAUGAUUUUAUUGGCUUGCGGAGAAUUCAAGUCAAAGGUGUAUCCAAUCUGGUAUGCACAAAGAUUUGAAGGUGUGGACAAUUUUGGCACCUCAAGAAAAUUGUCAAGAAGGUGGAGUGGGCUCGGCAAAUUAAUCCAAAAUCAGUAAAGGAGACACUGAUAUUCUCGCAGAUGGUGAGUUUCCUUUUGAUAGGAGACUGGGUUAGUUCUUUUGGCAUAUGAUCUCCAAGUUGCCAUGAAAGAGAACAUGUUAUGAUCAGCGGGGUCCACAAGUUUGCACGCGGGCAUUGGCUUGGUAUAAAUGCAAGGUGUGUGGUGGAAAAGUUAUGUCGUGGCUGAAGAAUUCUUAGGGAAACCAAGCAUGAGAAUUGCACCAUAAUUUUCAGCGGAUAUGUUUGACAUGUGCCGGGAAAAAAAUCUUAGAAUGGUUGAUUCUAAGUGAUAUACUCUUUAUGGUGGAGUAUGAUAAUUCUCUAUGUUGAGAAUUAUCACUGUUGGUGAAGACGGUGCUUUAUAUCAGUAGUUAUGUAUUAUUUUUUUUAAUUAAGGUGGAGAUUUUUGAAAAUUGAUUAAAAAAAAAAGAAGAAAAAAGAAAGGUAGCUUCAAAUUUGUUGACCAAAUUUGUUGAUCAAAUUUGAUGGCUAAGCCACUAAUUUUGAUCAAGAUUGGUGGGCUUGAUUUUAGGCAAAAUCUUGCCUAUAAAAGGAAGCUCUCAUUCGAGAGCUUGGUAUCCAAAUCCCAGAGAAGCAAUUCAAGUUUUGGUGAGAAAUUGAGAAAGAAAAAUAUUCUUAAGCAUGUAGUUAUAUUGAAGGAGCAUUUGGCUCCUCAAUAUGGGUAUUACGGGUUUGCUUUGUUAAGGAAUAUAUUUUAGGGAUUAUGUAUUUGGGGCUUGGGUGAGAAAUUUAUUUCUGAGAGUGUGGUUGUAAUAAUUUUCCACAUAGUGAAUAUUUUUCUCUGGUUAUCUUGUGACAACGGCCGUGGUUUUUCUCCGGAUUUGGAGUUUUCCACGUAAAUCUUGUGUUGUUUGAUUGGUGUAUUCUCCAUUUAAUUUUCUUAUUAAUUUGUUGCUUGAUAAAUUGCUUGGAGUGAUCUUGGGAGGAAGUUCAAUUUCCUAACAGAUAACAAAGCCCUUGGUGCAGAAGUGGUUAAGCAAACUCGAAAACUUAGCUUACGAUGCAGAAGACAUGUUGGAUGAGUUUGCAACUGAAGCUUUCCGGAGGAAGUUGUUGCUGCUUGAACAAGCUGAUCGUCAACCCACCGGUACUGCAAGUAAGUUCCGGAUGCUCAUUCCUGCCUGCUGCACCAAAUUCAGUCGACGAUCUGUCAAGUUUGAUUCCAUGAUGGCGAAGCAAAUAGAGGAGAUUACGGCCAGAUUUAAAUAAAUUGCAGCAGAGAAAGAUCAACUGGAUUUGAAAGAAAUUUCGGGAGGGUUCAGGUACGGCAGAGUCCAGGAAAGGCCACUGUCAACAACCUCUUCGGUGAAUGAAAAGGAAGUUUACGGCAGAGAAAAAGAUAAGGAGGCAAUCGUUGGACUGUUGCUGGGGGAUGAUUUAAAUAGUGGCCGGGGAUUCUCCGUUAUUCCUAUAACAGGAAUGGGAGGUCUGGGGAAGACCACUCUUGCUCAACUUGUUUUCAAUGAUGUCAGAGUGAAAAAAUAUUUUUCUUUCAGAGCCUGGGCUUAUGUUUCCGAAGAUUUUGAUGCUGUUGGGAUAACAAAAGUGAUACUACAAGCAGAUGCUGGAAGUGUUGAUGUCAAUGAUUUAAACUUGCUUCAACUGCAGCUGGAGAAUCAACUGAAAAACAAGAAAUUUUUACUUGUUUUGGAUGAUAUGUGGAGCGAGAAUUAUGAUGUCCGAGCAAACUUAUGCAAACCAUUUAAAGCUGGCUUACCAGGUAGUAAAAUUAUCGUUACAACUCGGAAUGAAGGUGUUUCAUCAAUGGUGACCACUCCUGGUGCAGCGCACUCAUUAGGAAACUUGUUACGUGAUGGUUGCUUGCGUAUAUUUGUUCAACACUCCUUGCGAAGAACAGAUUUUGUCGCUCACCAAUACUUGAGCGAAAUAGGUGAGAAGAUAGUGGACCGAUGCAACGGUUCGCCUCUAGCAGCAAAGACUCUCGGGGGUCUUUUACGAGACAAAUAUGACCCUAAAGAUUGGGAAGAUGUGCUAAAUAGCAAAAUCUGGGAUUUGGAUGAAGAUAAAAGCGGUAUUAUGCGUGCUCUAAGGGUUAGCUAUUACUAUCUUCCUUCACAUGUAAAACGAUGCUUUGCACAUUGUUCGUUGCUACCCAAGGGCUAUGAAUUUGAUGAGAGGCAAAUAGUUUUACUAUGGAUGGCAGAGGGUUUGUUACAACAUAAGACUGAUGGGAUGGAAAUGGAAGAAUUAGGCCGCAAGUCUUUUCAAGUGCUCCAUUCAAGGUCAUUUUUCCAACGGUCAAAGAUAGAUGCAUCACGGUUUCUUAUGCACGACCUUAUUCAUGAUCUUGCCUGUUGGGCCUCGGGAGAAAUAUGCUUUAGUAUGGAGAGUAAUUGGGAUGGAAACAAUCAAGGGAUAUUUUCCAGAAAUCUUCGUCAUUUCUCUUAUCUCAGUAGCAGAUUUGACGGAAUUAAAAGGUUUGAGGGGCUCCAUGAAGUUGAACAUCUGCGAACUUUCUUAGCAUUGCCACUUAGCACAAGGAAGGAGCUGUACGUGACUAAUAACCUUGUUUUUCAUGUCAUACCAAGACUACGGCGGUUGAGAGCCGUAUCCUUGUGUCGCUAUUGGAUCUUUGAGCUUCCGGAUAACAUUGGGGAGUUGAAGCUUUUACGGUAUCUUGACUUUUCCCACUCUGCAAUUGAAGUUUUGCCUCAAUCGGUCAGUUCUCUUUAUAAUUUACAGACACUCAUUGUAGAGCAUUGUUACCGUCUAAAGAAGUUGUUUCCGGACAUAGGGAACCUUGUCAACUUGCGGCAUCUCAAAAAUUCUCAUUCAAAUCUAUUGGAAGAGAUGCCUUUGAGAAUUGGUCAAUUGACGAGUCUCCGAACACUGGCCAAAUUCGCUGUGGGUAAGGGCAAUUGCUCUGGUUUAAGAGAGUUGAGAUCUUUGGCGCUUCUUCAAGAGAAACUGACUAUUUCAGGCUUGGAGAAUGUGAAUGAGGUUGAAGAUGCCAAGGAAGUUCAAUUAACUGGCAAGGAGAAACUUGAAGCGCUAUCGCUGAAAUGGGGUGACAGUACUACUAGUAGCGAUUCAAGUGAGGUAGUAGAAAUCCAAACCCAGACUCGUGUUCUUGAGAUGCUAAAACCUCAUUAUGGACUGAAAGAGCUGAAAGUACAGGGUUAUGGUGGUUCAAAAUUUCCAGCUUGGUUAGGACAGUCCUCAUUUGAUAAUUUGGUGGUACUAAGGUUUAAAAAUUGUAACCAGUGUACCUCCUUGCCAUCAGUUGGGCACUUGCCCUCGCUUAAGAAUCUCUUUAUCAAAGGCAUGGCCAAAGUGAAUCCUCAUUUGAAAAUUUAGUGGUACUAAGGUUUAAAAAUUGUAACCAAUGUACCACCUUGCCAUCAGUUGGGCACUUGCCCUCGCUUAAGAAUCUUGUUAUCAAGGGCAUGGCCAAAGUAAGGAGUGUUGGUCUGGAGUUUAUUGGAAAGUAUUGCUCAGAGCCUUUUCGAUCACUAGAGACUCUUUGUUUCGAGGAUAUGCAAGAAUGGGAGGAGUGGAUUUCUCAUGGGGGUACUGCUGGUGGUGACCAAGAAGCUGCUAAAGGGUUUCCUCGCUUGCGAGAGCUUUCUAUUGUAAGUUGUUCUAAACUUAAAGGUAGAUUGCCCCAGCGUUUUUCUUCACUUGAAAGGAUUGUCAUUAGGAGUUGUGAGCAAUUGUUGGUGUCAUAUACGGCGCUCCCCCCACUCUGUGAACUAGAAAUUGAUGGAUUUAGUGAGGUGGCUUGGAUAAGUCAUCCUGUUGAAGCAGUUGUUUCUGAUUCUUCAAAUUCAGGGCUGGAGGAGUCAAGAGCGGAAUUUCUGCCCCAGGAAAUUACGAUCCCUAAUCAAGAAUCACUACCGGAUGGUCUGCACAAACUUGGCCAUAUUACAAGGAUUUCGAUGGUUGGUUCUCAUUUGGUUUCUUUUGCUGAGGGAGGGUUGCCCACAAAUCUGAGCGAGCUCAUCCUUUUUGGUUGUCCAUAUCUAACGGCCCUGCCCAACGGCAUGUACAAUCUCUCUUCUCUUCAACGUUUGGAAAUACGAGAUUGUCCACGAAUAGCAUCCAUUCCUGAGGAAGUUGGUUUCCCCCCAAAAGUCACAACACUGGAGCUUGAAGGCCCAAACAUCUGUACAUUAUUCUUCAAUUUGGGGUUCCACAACCUUACCUCAGUUCGAGAACUCUUCAUCGCAGGAGGAAGGGAAGACUAUGUGGCCUUCCAACAGCUUCCUACUUCUCUAGUCGAACUGGAUGUCAGAGAAUUUCCUCGGCUGGAAUCCCUGUCCUUUGUACGCAUCCUCACUUCAUUGGAAAGACUUGAGCUCUGCAGAUGUUACAGUCUAAAAUCUUUUCCAGAGAAUGGCCUGCCUCCUUCACUUGUGUUUCUAAAUAUCUAUUUAUGUCCUGUCUUAGAGGCAAAGCGCAAAAAGGCCGAAGGAGAAUAUUGGCACUUGGUAGCCGACAUACCUUUUGUCGAACUCAAUCACAAACUCGUCUUUGAUCCCCGUGAAUUAUCUUGAACUAUGAUUAUUUUCAUAAUCACGAGGUACGUUCUUGUUUAAAUCUUUAUCUAAUCUUGUCAAUUUGCUUCUUUUUUUUUUUCAAUUUUUUUAAUGGUCCGAACAAUUUUGUAAUGUAUUUUUUUUCCCCUUUUGUUGCAGUUGAUUGUACGCACGUAUCAUCUUCUGGUUCUUUGUGAUUAUAAUGUCGGAUCAACCUCAAAAUCGGGCAGAUAGUUUGACAACCGAAUGAAGGAAAUUAAAGGCUCUGAUAUUUGCUCUUUGCUUAUGCGUGGACUCAGUUUAAGUGUGAAAUUAGACUCGUAAUAAUUCCCAACAUUUGUAGUUUAAGGUGGCAUUUGUUUUUUAACUUAAUGACUUAAAGUGGCUUAACUUAAUUAAUUAAGUUAAUUAGAGGUGUUUGUUUUUAUAACUUAAUGAGACUUUUUAGAUAAUUUUGACUUAAUAAAAUAAACCAAUUUUUUCAGCUUUUUACUUAAUGGAGAAAUCUGAAUUAAGUCAAUUACUUACUAAUGUCAAAAAUAUCCAUGUUUUAAAUUUAUUUUUCAUGUCUAUCCCAAAACUCACCCAUAGCCAUUUAUCCCGUAUAAAAAUAUCAUUGUUUUUUCUUUCUUAUAUUAUAUACGAUAAAAUUUGAAAUUUAUGGUAUUUUAUAUAUUAGAAUUCCAAAAUAAUUAUGUAUUCACUUGUAUAUAGUUUUACUUAUAAAUGUUAAAAUAUUGUGAUAUUUAAUAUAUUAUUUAUUUGACAUUCAAAUUUAAUAAGGAUACAAAUGUAAAAAUACAUAUUUUCAGCUUUUUCAGUUGAACAAAACAAACAACUUAAUACUUAUAUUCUGAUAUUCAGACGAAAAAACAAACAUAUUAUUCAGAUUCAGACAUUCAGAUUUAUUCAGAAUUCAGACUAAUUCAGAUCUAUUCAGAUUUCAGACAAAAAACAAACGCCACCUAAGUGUGAAACUAGACUUGUAAUAUUUUCCCACAUUUGUAGUCAACUGCUCUGUCUGAGAUAAUGCUUCAGAUUUAAUCAAUCCAAGAAUAAAAAAAAUACUAGGAUUGAUUAAUUUGUACAAUAUUCAUGAUAAUUCUCAAUCUAAAAUUACCAAAUAAGUGUAUAUUACGCCAUCUCAAAUUUUAUUUUUUUUGCAUGGUCAUCAUUGAAUGAAAAAAAAAUGUAGAAUUAUCUAGCAAAAUUUUAUUGUAUAUUUCAAAUUUUCUCUCAUAAUAAAUUAGUUUAGGCUCUCACAAAACUUAAUUAGGGUCCACGCAGUCUAAUAAUUUUAGAGGUCAUGUAUGACUCAUUGACUUUUAUGGAAAGAUAUAUAUUGAAUAACUAUUUAUUAGAUUAACUUGCUCAUGAGAGGAUCUCUUUGAUGGGAUUAAAAGCUUGAUGCAGCAACUAAACAAUUAAUAAUCGAACAUAGUUUAUCCUUCUAAUUAAGAAUAGAAAUUUAAAUAAAAAAACAAAAAAAAUUUUCUUUUAAUUUGAAGUCUUAGACUGAGACGGGGGAGAGAUGUUUGUUAAUUAUAAGAAAGUUUUUACAUCUUUUUUUUUUUUUAAAUAUCUGAUGAAUGAGGAAUUGAGAUCCUCUUCUUCUUCUCCUUCUUCUUUUUUUCGCUUAUAACAAAAUCACUAAUGCAGUUUAUCAAUUUAACAACAGUUGCGUGGUACACAAAAAUAGCACAAACGCGGUAGUUAAAGCACACAAGAUUGAUGUUAUUAAGUAAUUAAUUCAGUUUCAUAAUACCACACAAUAAUAGCACAAACGCUCAUAUAAAUAAAAUUUGAAGUAACACAACUUGCACAUAUAUAAUUUGUGACACAACAUUUACUCGCCAAACCCAAAUGCUAACAUGGCCGCCCUUAUUUUGAAACUUUGAUCUUACAUAUCAAGAUCGACAGAAGCCAGCUGUUACUUUAAUGAGCUCGACGAUUUCUUCACUGAAAUUGCUGACGCCCAAGCUGCAAACUUAAGCUUCUCAGAGUAUGCGACUGUAGUAGUGGCCAAGACGAAGACAGUGGCAGCAACAAUGACAGCAACUUUCUCCAGCACUUUGGAUGCAAAGGUAAGCUUGUUGUGGACAAUAAGAUUUGAAACAAAGAGGGAAAGAAAGAUGAGUGAUGUAGCAAAUGAAAGCACAUAGAAUGAAGGAGAAAGUUCUGAUUGAACUUACGCAAACAAUUUAGCAAAUCCAAGCGCUGAUGUAAAGCAAAAUGCCACAUUCUGCCAUUCAGGGACUUUAGUGGCUUCGUCCAUUGUGGGUUAAUUAAGUGAAAAUGUGUUGUUCAUAACUGCAGUUUCCCCCCAUUUCAAAAAUGCUUGAUUAUUUAUAGACAGAUCUUGUGGGGUCGGAUUUUUCUAAGUUCUGAGUUUAGAAAAACUUUCGGCCCCGGUAGAUGUAUAUUUAUUUUAAAUUUUAAUUAACUUAUUAGUUAACGUAUGGAAUAAGACAAUGUUAUCCAUCAAUUUUGACUAUUUGGGACGAAACGUUUCAGAUUCUAGUUUCGCUUUGAUUUCUCGAGAUCUAUGUGACCCAUUAAAAGAAAAAUGAUGAAUUGAUGGUCCGAUGGAUUUUGUCUAAAGGAAAGAAUAUUUUAAGCUCUUAACCUUUAUGUUUUUGGAUUUGAUCACCAUGUUCGAAUUGAUGUCGUUUGUGCCCCUGGACUUAAAUUUACUACUUUUCAUGCAUAUGUAUGAAUAUUAUUAUCAAUAAAUUUAGGCUCCGUUUAAUAUAAUUUUCUAAAUAAAACUUAUUUAAAUAGAGUUUUUGUUAGUAGGUCUUUUACAAGUAAAGUUUUUAUCCAAAACGUUUUAUUAAAUUGAUUGUUAAUGAGGGUUUUUAUUAAAAAUUAUAAAAUUACUUUAAUAGAAGUUUUUUAAAAUUAUGUUACCAAAGAAAUAAAAUAAAAUGAUCAAAUAAGUAGCAGAUAUUUUGGGUAUUUAAUAUUUAAAAAAAUUCAAAUUCUACUUCGAAAAAUAUAAAAAUUGAGAUUUUACUAGUAUAAGUAAAAUAAUUUAUUUAACCUUCAAAAGCUCUACUAAAAAAUAAUAAAUAACAACAAAAAUUUUGAUGAGAGCUUAUAGGAUUAAAUAAGCACUUAUGACCAUUAAAUAAACCAUAUUAAACUGGCACAUAAUGUUCUUAGAGCACCCAAAACUUUUCUUAUCCAAUUCAAAUUCGUCUUGAUGAAAAAGUCUCACUCAGAAUAAGAAAAAUUUGAUCCAACUAAGCCGCGUCACUCUAAAUUUUCGGAUUUUUUUCUCAUGUCCGAAAGUAGAAAACUUUUGUGCCAGCUGUGUGUUUACGUGUCUUGUGUACUUUUUAAUUUAGCAUUAUGUAUAAUAAAUUGUCCAACGGAUGUUGAAAAUCCGAAGGACCUUUUGUUCCGUCUCCAUUGAGUUUGGUAAUGACUCUAAAACUUUGUUUCAUUGAAUUCGCAUUUUAUUCUGUUUAUAUGGCAUGGUAAAAAAGAGUAAUAGAUUAUGCUCCACUAAAUUUUAAAAAUCUUUUUAGAAAAAAAAUUAUAUGAAGCCAACAUCUCUAAAAUUUAUUUAAAUGGUAUGAUUCCUAUAACUUUAAGAAUCUGCACAAAAUAAUAUUCCUAAACAUUUUUAUUUUUGAUUAAUUCAGAUAGAGCUGAGACAUUUUGUUGCAUUUAAUUUAUGUUGAUCGGCAUUUAGUAAAAUGAGUUGGAUCUGCUUUGAAGUUUCUCGAACAUUUUAAAAUCAGUAUUAUACAAAUAAGAUUUACCAGAUAAAACUCAAGUGGUCAGUGUCAGAUUAUAAUCAAACAAAUUUUGUUGAAGCACUGCAAAAUAAUUAGAAAACGAAAAUAACUCUAAAAUGAAGUUUUUAACUCUUGUAAAUGUGUAUAACGUAACGAUUAAGCAUUUUUCUCACAACCUUUAAUUAGACCACGCAAUUUAAUUAAUUUAGUUGUGACUACGAUCUGUUUACGCAAAAUAUAAAAAGAGUGGCAACAUGCAUUAUUAUUGUGUUUGUACAGCAUUACUAUUAUGUAUAUACUAGCUUUUUCAAACUAUAUUAUUGCAAUAUACUUAUCAACCGAAAUAUAAUUAAAGGAUACCUUUAAAAUUUUGUUGGUAAUUCAGUGAUACCUUAUGAAACUUCUUGUAUCUUAACAUAAAAUAGCUAGACGACCAUUAUUACCCGAAACAAUUUUUAUGGGGAGUGAGUUUUUAAUGGAUUGCAGAUGAAUCAUUCACCACGGAUGGAUUUUCAAAGAGUCCAAUAAUUGCAUUGAUAUAGGUUGCUUUCCCGAAAUUUUCACGAAACUUUCAGGUGGUGUUUGGUUUUAAGAAAGAGGAGGAGAGGAAAAGAGUGGAAUGGAGGGGAAAUGAGAAGAAAUGAGUGGAAGAGAAUAAUAAAAUUAAAUUUCAUUGUUUGGUUUGACCUAAAGUUUGAUAAGGAAAAGAAUUACAAUUUUUUUCUUUGGACAAAUUCAUCCUUUAUCUUAAAUACUAAAUGAUCUAUAUUAGUAAUAAAAUAUAAUUUAGUAUUAAUACUAAUUUUUUUAUUUCAAAAAGUUCUAAAACAAUUCAUGAUUUAUAUUUAAUAUAAAAUAUAAAAUAAUUUAAUAUACUAAACUAUUUAAUAUAAUUUAAUAUAAAUAAAAGCCAGUCAAUAUAAGGCAACGAGCAUUAAAUAAGUUAAAAUAUUAGAGGACAAAUUUGGAUGCUUGGGUUUUCAACAUAAGAGGAAUUUGAAUUCUUCACUCUUUGGUGUGGAAUUCAAAUUCUACAUUAUAAGGAAUAUUAAAUUCUAAUGGAAAUUAAAUUCUUACAUAUUUUGUACAACCAAACAUUGAAAAUAAAACAAAAUUUAAAUUACUUUUCUCUCCCCUAUUCUCUCCUCCCAACCAAACAUCACCUUAAUAAAGAGAUGUCAGCUUUGAGGUGAAAUCUGCGUUUGUCAUCGUCUAACAUAUUUAUAUGUUUUAAAUUUCAUCAAUUGUCAGGAUGACAAGCCUUAAAAUUGUUCAAUUUUUGGAACUUUGCCAAGUAAUUACCAGAGAGACAAGUUUAUAUAAAAUUAUUCUUCGUAUCAAUUAUCUUUUUCCUUCACUUCCUGGACCCAUUCCGAUAAUGACAAGAUGAUAAUUUUUUUUUCUUUUUUAAAUCUCGGAUGGCCGACAAGGUUUAAAUAUAAUGACAGAAUUUGGAAAAUGAUAACCGAACACCGGAACGACAAAAUAAAGACAGAAACGGCAGUCACUCAUUCACUUAUUAUUUUUCUUCAUUGGGCCCAGAGUUACAUUAAAAAAGGGUAAAUAUUAUUAAAAAAAACAAAAUCUCUACCUUAUCUCUAAAUCAGAGAAGGAUAUCAAAGCAAACCUUAUCAUUUUUUUUUUCUUCUGUUAUUGAAUAGAUUCAGAUGUAACUUCUCUCUCUUUUUCCUUAUGGCCGCUUAUAUAUAUAUAUAUUAUUGAAAUCGAGCAAAUGCAGGGCUGAAAAUGUAGAUAUUAAUUAUGUGAUAAACAACUAAAAGAGAUGCAGAUAGAGUUCUGGCCUUCCACUUUAAUCUCUUAACUAGCGGGAGAAAAAAAAAAGCAGAACUCUAUUCACGCAUUUGCGCCAUGUUAAAUUCAUUAAAAAAAUGAAUUGUGGGCCCAUAACUAUAUUCACGCAUGCAAAGAGAGAGGACAGGAAGCGGCAGCACGUUUUCCUCUACCGACAAUUUGUUUGAGCAAGUUGGUGGACCAGAUGACCGAAUUUCCAUUCAUCUACUCUCUAACAGAUUUUUUUUUUAUUAAAAAAGCGCUCACGAAGAGCUAAUGCAACACUAACCGGGAGUGUGUCCAUAAGCAUCAUUACAAAGUAAGCCAAAAAUAAUAGGAGGAGGAGAAAGAAGAACAUGCAAGCCUAUGGGGAUAGUUAAGGUAUAGGAAGCAAGGAAAUCUGCAGCACAAUUUACCUCUCUAUACGCAUGCUCCAUUUGGACGAUCCAGUCACGCGCUAAUAAUUCCCGAAUAGCCUUGACAAGAAUUGCAUUUUCAUUUGCUGGAGGAUGAGCCCGCUCCAAAAUAUGCACUAUGCUCUUAUUAUCCACUCCAACUUGAAGACGUCUAAAGCCAUGAUCCCAAGCCAUUCUCAAGCCAUGCAACAGGCCCCAAAGCUCAGGCGAGAGGACUGAACACAUUUUAUAGCAACUGUAACUUAACAAAAUCCUUAUUUUAUAACAUUAUAACGAUGUAGAUGGUGAAGGAAUAAGAACAAAACAAUCAAAGACUCAAAUAACCAAUUAGAAAUGUCUCAUUCCUACUAUGUGAUUUUGGAUGCAUCAUCAUUAUUUUUUUAUUCUAAUUUGCUUUAGUUUUAAAAUGUAGAGUUUUUUUAAUAAUAUAGCCUUAUAUCAUGAUUAAUUUUUUAUUCUUGGUGACAUAAUGAUUUCUCAUGCAACUUUUCUGUGAAUGCGAUGGAUGCAUGAGCAUUGCAAUUCCUUUUAUGGUUUGAUUUCAAUAAGAAAGAAGCCUUAGUUCAAAGAGGAAUAUAAUAUAUGGAAAAUUAGGGUGGUGAGCUAAGCAAAGUAUAAGUUUCUAAAGUCGUUGUAAUGGCCUGUGAUGAAGGAAUUCAAUUUAUUUAUUGCAAAAGGGCAAUGGUUGCAUUUCUUAGAACGAAAGUAAAGAAUCUUAACAAAGUAGACUGACCAACCAAACACAUAAAUCAAUUGUUUAUUCAGCAAUCAUGUGGAUAAUUUUCGUGUAAUGCUGUUCAUUUCUUUCAUUUUCAUUUCUUUGAGCCCGUCUAUCUUUUUCAUUUAAUAAGUCUAUCCUAAUUAAAUAAUAAGUUUAGUACGACAAGUCAUCAAUUAUUAAAAAAAAAAGAUUUAUCAACAAAAGCAAAUGCAUGCUUUUGCCAAUACAAUUAACUACAAAUUCAGUCUUAACUAAUAUGUUUUGAUGUUGUUCGUAAGUUAGGUAGGUGAAUAGCUUUUGUUUAAGGAGAGAGAGAAGAAGAAGAAGAAAACAAUAUUGCAAUAAAAUAUAUUAAAAACAAAUUAAGUUGCAAUUGUUUCCAAUUUGUUGAUAAAUGUUUUAAUUUAAAACAACAACAAUAAUUAUGAAAACAGAUAGAAUCAUAAAAUAAAGAGCAAUGCUAAAGAGAGAGAAAGACGAGAGAAAAUGAGAGGAUUUUACUCUCUCUUUCUACCCAGCUCACUUUCUCUCUCUUCCUUUUCAGUACAUUUUCUCUCGUUUUUCUCUCGUUUUUCUCUUUCUUUAGCAUUUUUCAAUACACUUUCUCUUGUCAUGUAUCAUUUUUUUUUUCUCUUUGGGUGCAGUUGAUUGUACGUACAUAUCAUCUUCUGGUUCUUUGUGAUUAUAAUGUCGAUCAACCACAGAAUCUGGCAGAGAUUUGACAACCGAAUGAAGAAAAUUGUUCGAAAAUUGAAGGCUCUGAUAUUCGCUCUUUGCUCACGUAUGUACUCAGUUUAAGUGUGAUGCUAGACUUGUAAUAUUUUCCAACAUUUGUAGUCAAGUGCUCUGUCUGAGAUAAUGCUUCAGAUUUAAUCAGUCCAAGGAUAAAAAAUACUAGGAUUGAUUAAUUUGUAUAAUAUUCAUGAUAAUUCUCAAUCUAAAAAUACUAAAUAAGUGUAUAUUACGAUAUCUCAAUUUUUUUUUGCAUGGUUAUAAUUGAAUAAGAAAAAAAAUAUAGAAUUAUCUAACAAAAUUUUAUUGUAUGUUUCAAAUUUUCUCUCGUGGUAAAUUAGUUUAGGCCCUCACAAAACUUAAUUAUGGUCCACACAGUCUAAUAAUUUUACGAGUUUUGGUUGACUCAUUGACUUACAUGGAAAUAUAUAUUGAAUAACUAUUUAUUAGAUUAACUUGCUCAUGAGUGGAUCUCUUUGAUGGGAUUAAAAGCUUUAUGCAGCAACUAAACAAUUAAUAAUCGAACAUAGUUUUUUUUUUUUUUUUAAUAAGAAAAUGGAUCAGUCAUUCAAAUGGUUGAAUAAGUACAUAAAUUUUGAAUGGUAUGAGCCUUCCCAAACAACAGUUUCACACUUAUCGAAAGGUAGUUUAGCUAAAGAAUGAGUAAUGGCAUUACAAAAUCUUGGAGUAUGCUGGACUUUACUAGCAUUAAAAAUUUAAAAUCCCUCAUUUUAUUCUGAACUUCUGAAAUUAUCCAAUAAAUCUAUGUUUUGUUACUCUUCCUGUUGUUAACAAAAUCAAUAACAUCUUGCGAAUCUGAUUCAACAAUGAUGGUUGACAAUCCUGCUCGAUUGGCUAUACUAAGACCCAAGUUCACAACUUCUGCUUCUGCAAAGGUUACAUCACUGUGGAGUUUUGUAACCUUAAUUGCAACUGCUACAUACUUAUUGGUGGCAUCCCCUAUUACAACCCCCAGCCCUACACAAUGCUCCUUGAAAUUAAUGGCAGCAUCCAUAUUAACCUUGCACCAAUCUAUUGGAGGAGGGCUCCAACAUCCUUGGACCUUUUCUUUCGGCUCAAGUCUAAGGUUUGGGGUUGGUACACUAGUCCUUUUGAAGCUUCCAGAACUAAUUCUGCUUUUGCAACUGAAACAUAAGGAUCUACCCUCCUCCCUUUAAACAACAUUUGAUUUCAUGCACUCCAAGUUACCCAAAACAAAGCCACCACUGGCUCAGCUUUAGCCCUACCAAUUCUUCUUACCAUAUCUUGUAUUGCACUGAGGAUAUCUUGAUCUACUAUGCUUCUUAUCUCAGCUGCAACCUGGGAAAUUUUCCAGAUCUUCCUAUAAAGGGAAAUAAUAUCAAUUGUGAAUGAAAAUGAAGCUAUAUUUUAUUAUUGAUGUUAGUCGUAUAUAUAUAUACAGACUGUAGUUGGAAUACAAAGGGUAAUAACUAUCCUAGAUUUGAUUACAAUUUGAAUUAAAGAGAAUAAGUCAAGGAGAGAAAGAAGGAGUAAAUAAAGGAGCAUUUACAACAUAUAUUAUCUAUAAACGGUAAGCACAAGAUUAGGAGAGAAUUGGUCAAGAGAUUGAUUUUGAUGUAUCUCUAUCACUUCCGAGCUGACUUACAAUCUACCAGAGCAUGAAAAGUAUUCUCCAAAGAAUUUCCACAGAUUUGACAAAGGGGAUGUGUUAAAAUCUUCCUUUUCCAGAGGUUCUCAGCUGUCAAAAGAAGGAUUUUCACUGCCACCAUAUGAAUAUUUUGAUUUUCUUGGGCAAUAGCAUAGUCCAAAUGGUAGACCAUUGAUUUGUUUUCUGAUCUGAGCAGCUUGGGGAAUCCUCGACCUUAAUCUUCAAAGCCACUUGGUAUCCGCUCUUGACAGUAUAGUUCCCUUUUUUAUCAUAAUGCCACAGCACUUGAUCUGUCAUCGGUUUACUAGGGAGAGGGAUUCUAGUGAUCAUAUCUGCAUUGUCUUUCACAAAAUGUUAGUAAAUCAGUCCCACUUUCCACUGAAUAAUCGAACAUAGUUUAUCCUUCUGAUUAAGAAUAGAUAUUAAAAAAAAUCUAACAAAAAAAUUGAAACUUUUACUUCUAAGUUGAAGUCUUGGACUGAGAUAAGGGAGAGAUGUUUGUCAAUAUAAAGGGGUUGGGCUUAGGAUUUUCAAGUGUCCAACUUAAAAGACUAGCUUAUUGGGUGGAGUGACCUAUUCUAUUUAUAAACUUAAGUAUUUUUCGUUUACUAGUUAGUGUGAGACAUAACUCAAUAAUUUUCUUCUCAGAUGAAACUACUGUCGGACCCCGAUCAUUUUGUCCAACACAUCUCAGUUGUUCCACUACCACAAUCUAGCUACUUCUGGCUUUGAUACUAAUUAUUGGGGGGUUGGGUCUAAGAUUUCUAGGUAUUUAACCCAAAAGAUUAUAGUGAUAGAAGGGCUCUGUUACACAACCCCCAAGUCACUCCUAAGAUCCCCAAUCAGAUCAACAAGAUGCUAUAAGAAAAUCUGAUUAGGCUUUGAACAAGUUUGAUUACAAUCCAAGAAGAUUAUGAUUGAAAACUAAGAAUAAUCAGAAAUGAAAAAGAACUAACAAACAACUCUAAGAACAGAGAAAACAACAAGGUUACGUGGUUCAGCUAAUUCAUCAUUAGCUUACAUCCACGGAGGAACAAGUUGCAGGGAUUUUAUUGAUUGAUCUUCAAGAUUCAGAGAGAUUACAGAGCAUAUUGCAUAUAUAACAUUAUGUAAAGACGAAUAGGUACGCGAAGGGGAUACUAUUUUUUAUUUGGAUUGAAAUUUCAACCAUUGCUAUACUCAUUUAAUUUAUUAAUACAGGAAAUUGCAGGGAAAGAGCAAGUGGUCUCUCAACAAGCAAUUGCCGGCUUCGACCAUGUUGCCAUACAAUAUAUUUUAGUAUGCUCAUUAAUAUAUAUUCGGAGCUUCGAAGACUUUUGUAUAUGAAACAUAUAUUAAUAAAAAAAAAAUCAUUAGGUGAUAAUAUAUAUAGAAUUAAGCUCAUUCGUAAGAGAUAGAUAGCUUGAAUCAAUUCAUUGAUUGAAGAAGGUUGGAAGGAGAAAGAGAAAUAAUAGCCAGUUAUUUUUCUAGUAAGCAUCUUGCAUUAAUUUUGUUUCAUUUUAUAUACACGCGCGCGCGCAUUGAGAGCUCACAACACAGAACCUGUUCUCUGAUUGAGUUGGAGCUUGGAAGGAGAAAGAGAAAUAAUAAAGCAGGAUCUGCAACUCUUAUUCAAUUAUAUCAGCAACCAAGUAUUUUCAAGUAAGCGAAUUGCAUUAAUUUUGUAUCGUUUGGUCAUAUCUUUAAUUGUUUUAUUAUUAAUAUCAUUGUUCUUGAGUUAUAAGCACACACUUUGGUGUACCUAAUUGAAACAAAAAAGAGUGAACUUGAUGUGGUAACUGGCAUGUUAUCUGUUUGUAUUGCGGGCUGUGAAUUCAAGUUUUAAACUGAUAACUGCUACUGGCCAUUGAGGUGCGUUUGCUUUACUCUCUAUAGAUUAUUAAAAAAAAAAAAAUCUAAAAAUAAGUAAACAGAGAAUGUUUAAUUAAUUCUAAAAAUAGAAGUAAGUAAACAGAGAAUGCUUAAUUAAAUCUAAUUUCAGCUUAUAUUUUAUUUUCUUCUAUUCCUUUAUUUAUUUAUUUAUUGGCGUGCAAAGAAUUAAUAGCAUUAGCAUGGUGAAGAAAAAUUGAGAAUAAUUUUUUUUCUCUUUCAAAUCUAAAUCAGAUUUUCGCUCUGUUUUUCAUUCCCCGAACAAAUUAUAAAUUUUAGUUUGAGCAGUACAUUGUAAGAUUUUUGUUUACGGGCUUGUGAAUUUAUCGGUUGAAUCAGUGGUUAAAUUAGAUUUUUUUCACAGAACUUUGCUCAGAAAUGCAAUAACAAUAAUUCAUAUAUUCAAUUUCAUUUAGAACACGUCUUUGAAUAGAGGUGUUUCAAAAUUAUCCAAUUAGUUGUAUAUAUUUUUGACAAAUCAAAAAUUGAGAGUUUAAUUAAAAUCUUAAGUGCGGAUUGAUCUUUUGUUUUACCUCUGUAUUAGAUAAUUAAAUUGGUAAGCUUAAUUGAUUAAUUAAAGUUAAGUUUAAGGGGCUGAGCAUGCAAUGAAUCCUUAUCUUAUUUGAGAAUUGUUAAUUAUGUAGGGAGAUCCUAAUGGAGGAAGCUCAUCAUCAUCAGUUAUUAAUAAAAGAAGGAAGUCCUUCAGAGGUUUGGAAGGAGAUGAGAAAGUACAAAGACAGAGAUGGAAAUAACAAUGCUGAAUGUAUACAUUGUAAGAAGUCGUUUGACGGUUCAAGCCAGAAAGGAACAGCACAUCUCAAAAAUCAUUUAGACAGAUGCCCGGCUAACCCCAAGAGAAAAGGACCUGAUGGUCGUAAUGGGGAUGAUCAAGAUCAAUUACUGUCCCCACCAAUCAAAACAAAAGAGUUAGCCAGUCUUAUUAAAGAGAAAUCUGUUUAUGAUCUGAUCAAACACUUCUCCAAUAUUGAAGGAGAUAAGGAUUGGGAUCCAUCAUCGGUGUUGAACUCGAGAAAGGAUGAAAUACUCCAACUGUACCAAGAAGAGAAGGAAAAACUUUGCCAAUUUCUUAAUAGCCUCUCUUGUCGUUUCAGUUUACAACUAACUUGCUGCAAGUUACGUAUGUAUUAUGAAUAUUUCUUGGUAGUACACUAUAUUGAUGAUAGCUGGGAACGGCAGAGCAAGGUUAUUAGUUGUUGGAAAGAUCCUUUUGAGGUCGAGGAUUCGAUGAAAGCUGUGCAACAAUCGUGUUUGGAUUGGAAGAUCGAUAAGAAUAUAUGCUUCCUACUUCUUCCUUGUCCAAUUCGUCCAGCAGACGAUAGGGGUAACCAAAUUGGAAAGACGGAAAAUUGGUUUAGUCAACGACGUUCACCUCCUUUUGCCGGCUUCAUACAUGAUGGUUAUCAGUUAAUGGGUUAUAUUCGUGGUACUUUUGAAAAUUACGCAAGGGAUGGGAUACUACGGGCCAUACGGCAGUGCGUUGAUUACGUGUAUAACAAGUCAACAUCAGAUAAACCAAUUCAGUUGGAUAGUGCCGUAAAAAAAGCGAUUUCCAAGCUCGAACGUGCUUCUCUUUUCUGGCAUUUUGAUUACCUUCGGACUGUCGCAAAAAAAUGCUUGAAAAAAGUAUCUUUUCUGCUGGAGCAAUUAGACUCCGAUUUUAGGUCAAUUAAAUUUACUAAACAAAAAUGGGAUGAGAUAACUGCCACAUUCGAGCAUUUGAAACUCUUGAAGUAUGUAGGAAAGUUCUAUAAUGCCGUAAUGAAAAUUACGGAAUCAAAUACCGUGAUACAUAUAAAUAUUAUAAAUUACACAAAAAACUAGUAAAUAUAAAGUAAAACUAGUAAAUUCAUACAAAAUUAUUAAUUGUUUAAAAUAUUAACAUUGUUUCUGCAGAAUUUUAGUGAAAAAUAUUUUAUUUAUUUACAAAAAAUAUUUUUUUAAUUAAACAAAGAAAAAAUUACUCAUCAAUUAAACAAAAAAAUUGUACUAAAAAAAGUAGAAUAAGUUUUAUUGAAUUGCUUUCACCAUAGAUUCUAUAUUUAUUCUAGGACAUUUGUAUAAUUUUUUCAUAUGUUCUAUAAUAAUAUCUAUUUUAUUAUAAAAGUUAAUUAAGUGCAAAUAUUUAUCUUAUGUGGAUCAAGCAAAAACAAUUUUUUUUUAAAAUCUUAUAUUACUAAACACAUAUGUGAUAUAUCAAUAAAAUUAUAUCCAAAUUUGAGUCUUAUGCAUACUUUAUACAGUUUUAAACUUUCUAUUUGUAUUUGGAGACCAUUCAGGAUUUUUAUUGAAGAAGUUUAAAAAGAUGCAAAAUAACCUCAUCUUACAACAACUAUGAAAGUUAUUAAAAUAAUAUUUUUUUCAAAAUCUGAUUUUGAGAAUAAAUUUCAUCCUUAAUGAAGCAUCACAUGUAUUAUAUAAUUAAAUGCAAAACUAGCAUUAUUCAAUUUAAAUUAAAAUAUAAAUUUAUAAAUUUUAUAUUUUAUUUACAUAAUUUAUAUUUAAUUACGGAAUUAAUGCCGUAACUUUAAUCACGGCAUCAUAGAAUGACCCGUUACUACCAUCUUCUUGUGGGGGGAAUGUGAUAUUCCAAUAAUUGUAGAUCUUCCUUACAUGCAUAAGAUAUUAACGGAUCGAUGCAACCACCCAAUUGAAGAUUGUCCUUUCUGCAAAAAAGUGAUGAAGGAGGCUAUUGAUCCACUUUUUAGCAAAUAUUAUUUGGCUAGAGUCAUCGCAGCAAUUCUUGACCCACGGUUCAAAAUGGAUGCUGUGCAACUUCAUUACAAAGAGAUUUAUGGCAGUGAUGCUGAUAGAUACAUUGUGAAAAUUAAUAAAGAUUUUAGAGACGUUUAUGAUGCAUAUGCAUAGAUACCUUGUGAAAAUUAAUAAAGAUUUUAGAGACGUUUAUGAUGCAUAUGUAGCAACCGACUCCAGCGAUUCAAAGUCAUAUGAAAUGCUAGACGCCAUCGGGAGGCCAUGCACAUCUUCAUCAUCAAAAUCAGAACUUGAUCGCUAUUUCAAUUUGCUUAAAGUUCCCAGCGAUCAACAGUUUGACAUACUAGCUUGGUGGCGUGGCAAUGCUAUUUUAUCCGACCCUCGCAAGAAUGGCUUGUGAUUACUUAGCAUUAAAAAUACCUUUUACCUAUACCGCUGCCGAGGGUGCCUUGAAUGCCAUGGGGCGUUAUAACAUAAAAUCUUGUCUUCAUUUUGAUGAUAAAGAUUUACGCGAGAUAAUAUCGCCUUUGCUAUGCCUACAAGGAUUUUUGAGUAGCCCCUAAAAAUUAGCGUUAUUUGUGACUGCGUUUGCAUUUUCAUAACGUUAUUCCUGUUCUUUACAUCCUCUAGUUUGUAAAAUAUCGCAUUACAUGUUUGCUUUUCAUUUUUUUUUGGCUCAAUUUAACAGAUUUAUCCCUGAUAAUUUGGAUAAUUCAAAUAAACCGGAAAAAAAAAAACAUUUUGAAUAAUUUAAAUUAUGAAUGAUUAACAAAAAUAUUUGAACUAGAUAUGUCUCCUAUAUGGGCACAUAUGUUUAUUAAAUACAUGAAACUUAUAAUUUAAAUGGCUAACAAUAAGCUGACUUUGUCUCUUUCCUAUGAACAUUUUAGCUUCUGAAGUCAUCAAAUCAUCAAUUAUCAAUUGUAAUUAAUGUAUCUAAUAAUCAGAUUGUUCUUAACAGUGUUAUUUUUGCACAAUUGACAUAUUUAAUACUUUUUUUUGUUAGUCUUAUUUAGAAUUAAUAGAAUCUAAUGCAAUUAAGAAGUAGGGGCACCCUUAAACAUAGGCAAACUAGACCGUCACUUAAUGUCUUAUAUUAUUGAAAGGCUCCAUUUUUCUUAGUAUUCCUCUAAUAAUAUUUGAAUUAAUAAUUUUUUUUAAAAUUAUAGACAAUUCGAAAGACUAUUUUUAUGUAUCUCUAAUUAAUAAUUUUCCUACAAUAAAUAUAUUUUUAUACAAAUUCUACAUUUGAUAACCUUAAUGUUAAAAAGUUAUAAUUAAUAAUAUUAUAUAACCUUUAAUUUAUUCACUAUUAGUUUUUAGAAGAAAAUAAUAAGAUUCUUUAUCUCUCCAUUUAAAAAUAAAAUUUAAUCAAUUAUUUAACAUUAAAAAGUUUCUUGCACUCUUCUCCACAAUGUAAUUUGUUACAUAGAUUUCAAUACAUUAAAAAAUAUUUUUUUUUGUCCGUUAGUGUAUUGAAAUCUAUAUAUUUUUUUUUACUAGCAUCCUCAAGAUGCCCUUACUAGAGAAUUAUUAUUAUUAUUAUAAAAAAGAAAUCUUCUUCACUAUUUUUCCUUCUUCAAGAUUUCUUAGGAUCUUGUUGAUUAUGGUUGAAAUUCAAAAUAUAAGUUAAAUAUUAAUGAAUUUUAAACUUUUUUAUGUUUCUUUACGUGUUGAAGUUGUUAAAUGUAAAGAAUCCUUGUAAAAGAAUUUGUUUAUUUGUUAAUUAAUACAAUAUUGAUUCUUACCUCAGCUAAGGUUUCGGGAUCAAACAAUGAAACAUGAUGCCAGAGCCUCUCCAAAUUUUCAAACCAUCCUUUUCACAUAAGAUUUUUUUUUUUUUUGUUGAUGAAAGUUAGUAAUUUUUUUCCAUCUAGUAAUUUUUUUCCAUUUUUAAAUAAUAAUUGUUAAUACAAAUAAGAAAAAUAUUGGGACUUGAGAUCAAGGUCUACUUGAGUUAGAAUUUUUUAUUAGAAAAGUUAUUAACCAGCGAUGCAAAAUAAAGAAGCAACACAAGAUAAAAAGUAAAAUGAGAGAGCAUAUAUUAUAGAAAAGAUUUUACUCAUUCCAAGUGUGUACCAAAUAAAGAGAUGAAUUCUUUUUUUAUAGUUACAUAAUUAUUACAUAAAAUUAAUGAAAAUUUUAUGGAUUAUAAUUGCUUGUGAGAUAAUGGGGAUUAUAAAAAAGUCAAGAGUUGUUAGUGAAAGAUAAUGGAAGUAGUUUGUGUGUGUGUGUGAGUAUAUAUAUAUAUAUAUAUAUAUAUAAACAAACUUGAUUUUAUCUAGCUAGUAGAUUAUUAUUAAUUUUAUAAUUAUUGAAAUGAUUAAUUAAUAUUAACCAUUAUUAUACGUACUCUUUUUCUUAUUAUUUUCUCUGCUUGGAAUUUCACACAAAAAGGCAAAAGAGUGGAGAAGUUUUCUGUGAUUAAAUUGUUAUCCCAUCUCUAAUAUUAAUGCUUUAAUUAAAAAAUUAAUUAGUCGCUUUAUACAUUAUAUUUGAGCUAGCUAGGCUUAACGAUGAUUCGUGUUAAACAUUAAUAUAGUGGUGUGUAACUGAAGACAUUCUUAUUGCUGAAGCUCAAAGGCGCCAACUAGAUUUCAAGUGUAAACUCAACUGCUUUAUCGCGUCCUAAUUCAGGUGUUAGGUUCAAACAUUAAACAGAAUUUUUUUAAAGAUAAUUAUUCAGUAUAAUGAAAUCACAUUAUAAUGUUAUUAUUACAUUAAAUUAACAGUUUAGUAUAUACGUAUGAUUUUCUUUUAAUUAAUUUAUUUUUGGAAAAUUAUUAGUUAUCCACCUAAAUUUAUGUUGUUAUAAAAAAUAGUAUUAAAAUUUAAAUUUGUUUGAUUUUCCACCCUAAGUUUGCAAUUUGUAUCAACCCCAAAUUUGCAAUUUGAAUCAACCGUCAACCAAAAUUUUAACACCACUAGAAUAUUUAAUAGAAUGACCAUUGUACCCUUGAAUUCAAGGGCAAUUUUUGAUAAAAAAGAAAAUUUGAGGAACAAUGGAGUUUGAGCUCAAGGAGAGAAUGUACUGUAACUUUUAAAUUCGGCCUAAUUAAUUAAAUGGAUCUUACAAAUUUCUAAGUGGAAUUUCGGAUUAUUCGAAUAGAAUAGAUAUUCGAACCAAUGAUGCUCCUACGGUUGCUGGAAGAGAAAACUUUUGGUGGAAUGAAGAAUAUGAAGCUAAAAAAGGGUAAACUAAUGCGUGAAUUAUUAAAAAAAUUAUAAUAAAAAUUUAUUGAAACAUUUAUUUUAUUUUCAAUCUGAAUAGGAUAGCUUUGAAUUUAUGUAACAAUUAAUUUAAUAAUUGUAAGGAUAUUUAUGAAAUUAUAUUAGAAAAAUAAAAAUUGAUUAUGAAAAUCAAACAUUUAAAAAUACUCCUUCUGUGCUUUUUAAAACUGUGAUAGCGGUUGAUUUUGUAAUUUUUUUUACCAAAUACUAAAUUUAACUUUUAAAUUCCCAAAAUUACUUUUGAGCAUACAAAAGUAAUCUCAAACCGUCAUUUAUCUAUUUUUUCCUUUUACUUAGUAGUUCUCACAUUAACUUUUUCACUGUAAUGUUUCGGUUUCUUUUAAGUCUUCUCAUCCAUGAUUAAAGAGAACAGCAAGAAAGGAAAAAAAGAAAAAGAAAAGUAAAGACCUUAUUGGAACUUCGGAGACUCAUGUUUAUAUCUAUACAAUUAUAUUGAGAGCUAAUAAUGUCAUGCGUUUUAGUACCAGUUGUUAGCCUAUAUGGCUAUAAAUAUUGAUUUUGAUGAUAACAAACCACAUGUAUUUAUUAAGCAAAGAUUUAUGAAUUGUGCUUUUAUAAUAAGAAAAUGAUGUUAUGGAAUUAAAGCAUUUUGGACUAAAAUGAAAGUAUUUUUAAAAUCUUUGAUAGUGUUUUUAAAUUUCGGAUUUGGAUCUAUUUGAAACUAUUUAAAUGUUUUUGGGUCAUACUAUAAUUUCACAAAAUUUGGGCGAAGUCAUAAUUUCAAAAAGUUGUGGGAUUGACAAAGCAUUAUUCUAAAAUUCUGAAAUUAGACCUUUUUGCAAACUUUCAUAACAUUUUGGGCUAAGAUACAGUUUUAUAAAGUUUUGGGGUCAAAUUAUAAAUUUAGGAAAAUAAUCACUGUAGCAGUUACUGUAGCUAGCGAAAAUCCGGAUCCUAACAAACGGAAAUCCGGUUGUUGGGCAGUAAGCUACUGAGCGUAAGCGGAAUUCCGGAUGUGACAAAGCGGCAAUCCGGAUGUUCAGAAAUUCAAAAUUGUGGCUGUAACUGUAACAUUAAGCGGAAUUUCGGAUGUCCAUAACCGGUAAUCCGGUUACGACCAAAAUGUGCAUAACGGCUAGUUUUUAUUCAUUUGUAAGAGUUUGAGUGUGUGAGACACUUGAGUGAAGAGAUUGGGAGAUAAUCUCUUUGUUGUAAAGGUUUAUUGACACCUCGAAGUCAAUUGUAAUCCUUGAAGCCUUGGAAAGGCUUGGAUAGUGAAAUCCUCGAGCUUGGAUCGCUUGGAGGCGUGGACGUAGGCGGGGAUUGCCGAACCACGUAAAAAUUCGUAUGUUUGUUUCUCUUCUCCCUUACUCUUUAAUUAUUGUGCUAUUAUUGAACUUAUUGUUUUCAAUUAUUGUUAAGACAUUAGAUUGUUUGUUGUGUGGAUUUGUUAGGAUAAAUUUUAAAAUUCCAAUUCACCCCCCAUCUUGGGUUGCACACUUAUAUUUCACCAGUUUGGCAAGUCUUUUUUGUUAUUUUAGAUGAAUUUGUCUAAAUCAUUUUAGUAUUUCGCUUAAUGUGAUAUCUUGUCCGAUAUAGAUAUAUAGAGAUAUGGCUUUAUACAAACUCUCCAUAAAAUCCAAUAAAUAAAAAUAACUAUACAAAUCAUGUGACAUUUAUUCAAUUAAUACUUUUAUGCCAUAUUAGUUUAUGUAAAAGAUUGAUGGUUGUUGAUCCUUUAUUUUAAAAUUAAAGGGAAAAAAAAAACUUACCUAAAGUACUGAUUAUUUAUUGGGAGUGGAAACCCAAAAAAGAAAAAGAAAAAGAAAAGGUAAAGCAAAAAAAGUCACUAAACUAAAAAGUAGCCAACAUGAGGAAAUUGCGAGGAAAGAGCAACUGACCCAUUUUCAGUCAGCUUUUCUCAUUAGCUUUUGCGAUCAUAUUGCCAUUCAUUGUAGAUUUAUAAUAAGGUUAAUUAAUUUCUUCGGAGCUUGGAAGACUUCUAUAUAAACAAAUAUCUAUUAAUUGCUAUUAAGUUUUUUUUUUAUGUUAUUUAUAAUUUUUUCCAUUUUAGUUCAAUUUGUCUAAAUUAUUUGAGUAAUAUUUCGCUCAGUCUAAUCUCUAGUCGGAUAUAGAUAUAUAGAGAUGUGACUUUAGAUUAACUUUCAAUAAAAUCCAAUUAAUAUUGAUCAUGUUGUAUUUAUUUAAUUAAUACUUUUAUGCCACAUAUUAGUGUAUUAAAAAAAAUUAUGGUUGUUUAUCCUUUAUUUUUUAUUUUAAAAAAAUACCUUAUGUAAAGUACUGAUUACUUAGAAUCUAAGAAAAUAAAAAGAAAAAAAAAAGGAAACAAGGAAAAGAUAAGCAAAAAAAUCACUAAAGUAAAAGUAGCACUACAGAGGAAAUUGUAGGGAUAGAACAAGAUACACAAUUUAGUCAGCUUUUUUCAUUAGCUUUUUGAACCAUACUGGCAUUCAUCAUAGACGUAGGCUUACUUUGAUAUUGCUUUUUAAAAAGAGAUUCAAUAAAUAGAGUUUUUGAUAAUAGAACUUGUAUAAGUAGAGUUUACAUUAAAAAAAAAUUAUGUGUUUGGUUGGCAAUAAGAAUUUUUAUUAAAAAUUAUAAAUUACUUUAACAAACAAGUUUUUUAAAGUUAUGUUAUAAAAAGAAUGAAAUAAAAUUGUCAAAUAAAUAAAUGAUAUUUUAUAUGUUUUAAUAAUUAAGAAAAAAAACUUUUCAACCUCUACUUUUAUUUGAGCUUUUGCUAAUAAAGGUAAAAUAAUUUAUCUAAUUUUUAAAAGCUCUUCUGUAAAAAACAACCAAAUAAUGACAAAAUUUUUAGUAAGAGUUUAUAAGAUUAAACAAGCAGCGAUGAGCAUUAGAUAAAUAUACUAAAUAGGUAAUUAUAAUAGAGCUUUAUUUAUACACACGCACACAUUGAGAGCUCAUAAGAUAGAACCGGUUCUGAUUGAAGAGAUAGAGGGUGGAGCUUGGAAGGAGAAAGAGAACUAAUAAAGCAGGAUCUGCAACUCUUAUUCAAUUUUAUCAGCAACCAAGUAUUUUCAAGAAAGCAUUUUGUAUUAAUUUUGUAUCAUUUUGUCAUAUCUUUAAUCGUUUUAUUAUUAUUAUUAUCAUUGUUAUUGAGUUAUAAACACGCGCUUUGGUUUACUUAAUUGAAACGAAAAACAGUGAAUUUGAUGUGUUAACAGGUAUGUUAUCUGUUUGUUUUGCAGGCUGUGAAUUCAAGUUUUAAACUGAUAACUGCUAGUCUACCGGCCAUGAAGGUGCGUUUGUCUUACUCUCUACAGAUUAAUUAAAAAUAAUAAUUCUAAAUAUAAAAAGCAAGUAACAAGAGAAUGUUUAAUUAAUUCUAAAAAUAAGUAAACAGAGAAUUUUUAAUUAAAUCUAAUUUCAGCUUAGAUUUUUAUUUCCUUUUAUUCCUUUAUUUAUUUGUUUAUUUGUUGGUGUGCAAACAUUAAUAGCAUUAGCAUGGUGAGAAAAAUUGAGAAUGAAGUCUAAAUCAGGUUUUUGCUCUGUUUUUCAUUCGCCGAACAAAUCAUAAAUUUGAGUGUCGAGCGGUGGAUUGUAAGAUUUUUGUUUACGGGGGCAGACUUUUCUUGCGAAUUUAUCGGUUCGAUGAGUUGUUUAAUUUAGAUUCUUCACAAAACUUUGCUCAGACAUAUAAUAAUAAUAAGAAGAAGAAGUCAUAUAUUCAAUUUCAUUUAGAACACUUCUUUAAUUGCAUGCAACUGUUUCAAAAUUAUCCAAUCAGUUGCAUGUAUUUUUGAGAAAUCACAAAUGAGGAGUUUAAUUAAAACCUUAAGUACGGAUUGAUCUAUUGUUGAUUGAUCUUUUGUUUUACCUCUGUAUUAGAUAAUUAAAUUUGGUAAGCUUAACUGAUUAAUUAAAGUUAAGUUUAAGAGGCGGAGGAUGCAAUCAAUCCUUUAUCUUAUUUGAGAAUUGUUAAUUAUGUAGGGAGACCCAAACGCAGGAAGCUCAUCACCAUCGGCUAUUAAGAAAAUGAAAAAGCCUUCAGAUGUUUUGGAGGAGAUGAGAGAGUACAGAGACGCAGAUGGAAAUGUCAAGGCUGAAUGUAACCAUUGUAAGAAGACGUUUGACGGUUCAAGCAAGAAAGGAACCACACAUCUCAAAAAUCAUUUAGAGAGCUGCCAAGCUAACCCUAAGAGUAAAGGACGAACAGAAGAAUUAAAAAUGCUAGCCAGUCUUAUUAAGAAAAAAUCUGUUGGUGGUCUGAUCGAACACUUCUCCAAUACAGAACGAGAUACAACUGAUGAGGAUUUCGAUCACUCUUCCGAUAGGGAAGGAGAUACCAGUGACGAGAAACGGGAGAAUUCGGAUGGUUUGGAUCCAUCGGUGUUAAAAUCGAGGAAGGAUGAAAUACUCCAACUCUACCAAGAAGAGAAGGAAAAGCUUCACCAAUUUCUUAAAAACCUCUCUUGUCGUUUCAGUUUACAACUCGUUGCUCUCGUAGGACUCUUCGAAGUGCCAUGUUCCUUGGUAGUACACUAUAUUGAUGAUAGUUGGCAACGGCAGAGCAAGAUCAUUAGCUUUUGGGUAGAUGAUGCAGACAUUGCGAUGGAAUAUGUGAAAGAAUCGUGUUUGAGUAUCCAUGGGAAAAUAUGCUCUGUACUUGUUCCUUUUCAAAUUCCUCCAGCAUAUGAUGGGGAAAGUUGGUUUAGUCGACAAGGUUCUCUUCCUUUUGCCGGCUGCCUGCGUAAUGCCGAUGGUUUAAUGGAUUAUAUUGAUGGUGUAUUGCGAUCCGAAGAUUACUUCAGGGAUGGGAUACAGUCCUUAAAGGAGUGUGCUCAUUAUGUGGCUAGCAAGUCAAGAUCAGAUGAACGAAUUCAGUUGGAUGGUGACGUACAAAGAGCCAUUUGCUGGCUCAAUCGUGUUCCUGAUCCCUGGGGACAUUUAAAGUACUUUGCGACUGCAGUUCGCGUUAAAGAAGCAUUUUUUGAGCUGGGGCAAUUAGAUUCCGAUUUUAGGACAAUUAAUUUAACUGAAAAAAAAUGGGAUGAGGUAACUGCCACACUCGAGCAUUUGAAAUUCUUGGAGGAUGUUGCUGUCGGCUUUUCGUCGGGGAAAUGUGAGACUCCAAUAAUUGUAGAUCUUCCGUACGUGCAUAAGAUAUUAAAGGAUCGAUGCAACCACCCAGUCGAUGAUUGUCUUUUUUGCAAAAAAGUGAUGAAGGGAGCUAUUGAUCUGUUUUUUAGCAAAUAUUAUUUGAUUAGAGUUAUUGCAGUAAUUCUUGACCCACGGUUCAAAAUGGAUGGCGUGCAACUUCAUUGCAAGGAGAUUCACGGCAGUGAUGCUGAUAGAUGCCUUGAGAAAGUGAAUAAAGAUUUUAGAGACGUUUAUGACGCAUAUGCGGCGACCGACACCAGCAAUUCAAAGUCAUAUGAAAUGCUAGACGCCAUGGGGAGGCCUUCAUCACCAAAAUCAGAACUUGAUCUGUAUAUGAAAGAGCUUAAAGUACCAGCAGUAGAAGAGUUUGACAUACUAGCUUGGUGGCGUGGCAAUGCUCCAUUUUAUCCGACCCUCGCAAGAAUGGCUCGUGAUUACUUAGCAUUAAAAAUACCUUUUGAUCAUAGAGCUGCCGAGGGUGCCGGGGCUCUCGUCCAUGGAGGCCUACUUUGUCAUUAUUUUUAUGGCGAAGAUAUACCCGAGCUAAUAAGGCCUUUGGUAUGCUUAAAAGGAUUUCUGGGUACCGCUGAAAAUUAGCGUUAUUUGUGUCUACGUUGCAAAAUUAGCGUUAUCUAUGACUCUGUUGCACUUGUGCAACAUUAUCCCUAUUUAUAUUAUAUAUAGGGUAAAUGUUCUUUACAUGUGAUAUUAUAUAUUCCUAUUUAUAUUACAUCUUCGCUUUUCAAUUUUUUUGGCUCAAUUUGACAGAUUUAUCUAUGAUAAAUUUGGAUAAUUCAAAUAAAGGAAACAAAUCAUUUUGAAUUAUUUAAAUCAUGAAUGAUUAACAAAAAAAUCAUUUUGAAGCCUGAGAUGUAUCUUAUAUAGGUGAGGGUCCGGCUAUGGUGACCUUGUGACGCCAUACUCCCAGUUUUUGUCUUUUACGAGAUGAGUUCUGGCAAAUUGCAGUUAGCUCCUUACUCUCCCUUUACUAACAUUUUCAUUUCAAUAUAAUGAAAAAUUGCAAUUAGUUUGUUACCCUAAUCCCUAAGAUUACUCUUACAUUUUCAUCUAAAAUUUUAUAUUCCUAAACUAUCUUCAUAUAACAAAAACUUUUAUGGGCCUUUGAUUUUUAGUUGUCACCCAUUAAAGAUAUCUCAUCAUGUACAAAAUAUAAUUCUUUAAAAUAAUAAAAUCUCAAAAAGUCUAUCUUAUAAUGGGUGUUUGGAAAGUGAGAAAAUUACAAAAAGUGGGGGGAAAUGAGAGAGAGGGAGAAAAGAAAAGAGUAACAAUUGAAAAUUAAGAUAAUGAUAGUGAGUAUUGUCUCAUAGCAUAUGCAAAUGCAACUGCACCUAUAAAUUAUAACUUUAAAAUUUUCAUGCCUAGAAGCGGCUAAAAGUUAAAAUCAUUUUCUUUUUCUAUCAUUUUAAGUGUAACUUUUCUAAUUAGUUUUUCUGCAUCAUUUUCACCUUUCUGUAUGCAUAUUUUCUUUUUAUGUUUAGAAUAGGUUGGGGGCAGACUGUUGUUUGAAAAAAUAAAUUGUGAUUUGUUUUAACAUUAGAUGACAUGAUGACUUUUAAAUUUUAGUAUUUGUAUUAUCUUUGGUCUUAAAUGAUAUUACGCCAUAUUUGUUAUUCUACAUGUUGAUGUCGGAGACAAAUAUAACUUGCUUGAAGGAAUGUAUAUGUCAUAAUGAAUAACAAAUGAGUUUUUGAGCCUGUCAUUUUUCUUGGAGAGUAACCCUUUUGCCCAUUCUUCAUACAACUUAUCAGUUUAUUAUUUUAUAUACGAUCUCUAGAUUUCUUUUUAGUCAACCCUUUAAAAAAAUUUGUAAGAUAAAAAAAAUGUGUGUUGCUACAUCUUGUGUUGAUAAAUAGUAAUAAUCUUGUUUAGAUACCGCCCUGGUUUCACCAACUCCCUAGUAUAAGGUUAUUAUUAUUUGGCACGAUCCCUUAGCACCAUAUUGAUUAGAGUGUGGUUCAUAAGGAGUGGAAAUCCCUUAGCAUCAAUAUUGCUUUGAUACCAUACAAUCAAUAUCUACGUGAUGUCUUACAAUCAAAAUUUCUUUAUACCAUUGUAACACAAACUUAAUGACACUAAUAACUACUAUCAAUGUAACACUGGCACGAGCUAUGCUGACACUAUAACUCGGUGUCAGCAAAACAUGUUUCUAAUACCAUAAUAGUAUCAGUGAAGGUCAUUUUUCUACUAGUGCCAUGACAGAUAUCAAAGAGAUCAACCCCUUCAUAUCCAUGCACAAGAUUCUACUGCGGGAUCCUAUAGCAAUUCAUUAGAGUAACAAAAAAGAUUAACUCCCAUUAGGAAGAGAGUUAUAAAGAAAUAGAUCAUCAAAUGGCUUGAUGUUGGAAUCAUCUACCCAAUAUCAGACAGCUUAUAAGUGAGCCCAGUAUAAUGUAUUAUAAAGAAAAGUGGAGCGACAGUUGUAGCAAAUGAAAAGAAUGAGUUCAUUCCCAAAAGAAUCAUAAAUUGAUGAAGAGUCUACAUGGACUAUAAAAAGAUCAAGAAGGCCACAAUGACGGAUCACUUUCCAUUACCUUUCAUACAUCAGAUGCUGGACAAACUUGCUGGAAAAGAAUAUUACUAUUUCUUGGAUGGAUACUCAAGUUAUAUCCAGAUUGCUAUAACACUAGAAGACCAAGGGAAUACAACAUUCACUUGUUCUUAUGAAACUUUUGCCUUUAAAAAGAUGCUACUUGGCCUGUACAAUUCUCCAGUAACUUUCCAGAAGUGCAUGAUGUCUAUCUAUUCAAAUAUGGUUGAGCAAAUGUUUGAGGUAUUUAUGGAUGAUUUUUUAAUUUUUUGGGAAUCAUAUGAUGACUGUUUAUAUAAUCUAGAAAAUAUGCUAAGAAUAUAUGAAGAGAUAAACUUUAUUGAAUUAGGAAAAAUGUCACUUCAUGGUACAAAAAAGGAUAGUCCUAGGCCAUAGGCUCUAUAGAAAAAUGAUAGAGAUGGAUAGGAAAAAAAUAGAGGUGAUUAAUAAACUUCCACCACCCACUUCAGUUAAGAGCAAAAAAUGUUUCCUAGGGCAUGUUGAAUUCUACAAAAGUUUUAUUAAGGAUUUCUCUAAAAUAUCAAACCUCUAUGCAUGUUGUUGUAGUAUAAAAGAUCCUUUAAUUUUAAUGAGGACUGUUUGGAGGCUUUCGUUGACUUAAAGAGAGCUCUUGUUACAACACCAGUUGUUGUGGCACCUGAUUAGAGUAUGUCUUUUGAGUUGAUGUGUGAUGUUAGUGAUCAUUUUGUUAGAACAAUGCUAGGAUAGAGGAAAGACAAGAUGUUCUAUUCCAUUUAUUAUGCUAGUAAGACCAUAGCUAAUGCACAACUCAAUUAUAUUACCAUUAAAAAGGCGUUGCUGAUAGUUUUCUUUGCAUUUGAUAAAUUUAGAGCCAUAAAAUAUUUGACUUCGAAGAAGGAUGCCAAACCAAGGCUGAAAAUUAAAUAGCAAAUCAUCUUUUUAAGGCUUGAGUAGAUGCAAGUACUCUAACUAAGCAGGACAUCACAAAAACAUUUCCUGAUGAGUAGUUGUUAAUGCUACAACAUGCACAUAUGCUACAGCAAUCUGAUUUCCAUGGCAUACAAAUUCUGCUAAUUACAUAAUUAGUGGAUUGCUACCACCUGACUUGAGUUACCAGCAAAAAAAGAGGUUUUUCCAUUAUGUUAGAAGCUAUUAGUGGAAUGAGCCCUACUUGUACAAGAUGUGCUCAGACCAUGUGAUUAGAAAUGGGUUCUUGAUGAAGAGAUUUAAUGCAUUCUACAAUCUUGUCAUGCUGUAAUAUCUGGUGGACACUUUGAAAGUCACGGAACAGUAGCAAAAGUCCUUCAAUCAGGUUAUUACUGACCCUCCAUCUUUAAAGAUGCUUAUGAGUUUGUUAAGUGUUGUGGCAUGUGUCAAAGAACAGGAAACAUUUCUCAAAAACAUGAAAUGCCGCUGACCAACAAUUUAAAAGUUGAGCUUUUUUAUGUAUAGGGAAUAGACUUUAUGGGAUUAUUCCAACCAUCUUUUAGAAACUUAUACAUCUUAGUUGUUGUGGACUAUGUGUCCAAGGCAGUUGUAAAGUUCCUUCAGAUGAAUAUUUUCAUAAGAUUUUACACUCCUAAAGCCAUCAUCAAUAAUGAAGGAACUCAUUUUUGCAAUAAGAUGUUUGCUGCAGCAUUGGCUAAGUAUAAGAUCAAGCAUAAAAUUGCUACAACAUAUCAUCCAUAAUGAGUGAUCAGGCAAAAUUGUCUAAUAGGGAGAUCAAAAGGGUUCUGGAAAAAGUGGUGAACCCUAAUAGAAGGGAUUGGUCUACUAGACUAAAUGAUUCCUUAUGGACUUAUAGAAUUGCUUACGAGACACCACUUAACAUGUCUCCAUACAGAUUUGUUGAUCACAAAGCUUGCCAUAUGUCAUUAGAAUGGGAGCGUAAAACAUAUUGGCCAGUUUAACAACUGAACAUGGAUAUGAAUGUUGCAACAGGGCAGAGAAGGAUAUAGCUUUAUGAGCUAGAUGAAUUGAGAUUAUUCUCCUAUGAAAAUGUAAGAAUUUACAAGGAGAGAACUAAACAAUAACAUGACAAGCAAAUCCAUUAAAGGAAACUCAUUCCAGGCCAACAAAUCUUGCUUUAUAACUUUAGAUUGAAUCUUUUCUCUGGAAAGUUAAAGCCUAAAUGGUCAUGACCCUUCAACUAAUCAAGGUUUAUCCUUAUGGAGCCGUUGAUCUUAAAGAUGAAAGAAUUAGCUAAAAAUUCAAAGCAAAUAGGCAGAGAGUGAAGAACUAUAUGGGAGCUAAGGUGAACAGCCUAAAAGAGGAUAUAUUCUUAAAGGAUUCAAUUUAAGCAAACAAAGAAAGUUAGGGUAAAAGAUCUAAAACUAAGCGCUGAUUAAGAGGCCACCCAAUGAGAGAAGUUUAUUUUGAAAUUUUAAGCACUUUAAUUUAAUUUUUAUUGUUGAUCAGUUUGUUCCUCUAUUUUUUUUAAAUUUAUGCAACUAACUUCCAUGUUUUUCUAUUGUUUUCUUGUCAUUAAACUGUAAUUAAUCAAAAAUUGGGGGUUGGAAAAAUUGAAUGCAAGACUUGAAUGGGGAGGAAAACUGGAAUAUGUCAAUUGGGAGAAAAUGAUAUAAGAACUCAUUUGAUGGUACAACGAAUACAUUAUCCUGCUGACUUGGCAACUAAUGUCUAGCUGACAGUCACUAACGAUGAAUAAUUUUUUUUUUUUUACCGUUGGUGACACCGUUGGUGACCCUUAUGCCUAUGUCAUGACAGUCACUAACGAUGAAUAAUUUUUUUUUUUUUACCGUUGGUGACCCUUAUGCCUAUGUCAGCGAAACGAUCUUUUUUAAAUUUAAGAGGAAUGAAAUCCCUAAUUUCUGUGAACCAUAUUUCUCUUAUUCUCCAUCUCCUUUUGAAAGUUCAAAAUUUUCUAAAUCAUCAAAUUAAUUUUGACUAUCUCUCUUUGUGUUUCCAUUCCUCUAUAAAUUUAAGCUUUUCAUUGUUUCACUGUCACUACCAAUUCCUCUUCUCUACUGUAAUCUUCAAAAUUGCUCUCUCUCUCUCUCUCUCUCUCUCUCUCUCUCUCUCUCUCUCUCUCUCUCUCUCUCUCUCUCUCUCUCUCUCUCUCUCUCUCUCUCUCUCUCUCUCUCUCUCUCUCUCUCUCUCUCUCUCUCUCUCUCUCUCUCUCUCUCUCUCUCUCUCUCUCUCUCUCUCUCUCUCUCUCUCUCUCUCUCUCUCUCUCUCUCUCUCUCUCUCUCUCUCUCUCUCUCUCUCUCUCUCUCUCUCUCUCUCUCUCUCUCUCUCUCUCUCUCUCUCUCUCUCUCUCUCUCUCUCUCUCUCUCUCUCUCUCUCUCUCUCUCUCUCUCUCUCUCUCUCUCUCUCUCUCUCUCUCUCUCUCUCUCUCUCUCUCUCUCUCUCUCUCUCUCUCUCUCUCUCUCUCUCUCUCUCUCUCUCUCUCUCUCUCUCUCUCUCUCUCUCUCUCUCUCUCUUAUAAACUCCCAAUCUCUUGUUCUAACAGAACUCCCUUAAGUGUUGCAGCAAUGCCGAGAGUUAAAGUACCUACUAAGGACGCAAAAAGAUUCAACAGUUACAAAGUUGAAGAGAAGUACGAAGAGUUCAUUAAACCUCUCGCAAAAUUUGCCCCCUGCUAUUAAUAACGGUCUAAAUUGUUCCUACAGUGAAUUCAUUUGAAAUAUAAGAGCCUUUUGUAUUUCUUCGAUUGGGCUAAAGCUACAAUGUCGGGCAUUGAGGCCCGGCAUCGUGCCGGCUUGUAAACGCAGCCGUUGGAUUCAAGAAAAAUGAAUCCAACGGCUGAGAUUGAAAAGAAAUAAAAAAGAGAAAAAAAUUGUUAACUUGUUAAACCGGUUCCCAAAGCUUGCAAAAUAAAAUUUUGCUUUUUGAGGGUUUCACCCAGGCCAUUCCCAAUCUGUCACACCUCUCUUUGAAAUCACAAAUUUCUCUCAAAUUUCUCUCUUCUAUUUGUUUAGUAAUCACGCAAGAUUGAAGGCACCAUCUCGUUCAAAGCAAAUAACAAGUGGAAUCCAUGAAGCGGUGGCUGUCAUCCUGAGGUGUUGAAGAUGAACACAAGUUCCUCUCUUUCCUUUUCAUUUUGUGAGUUAACGGCAAGGUGAGGAGGUAAUUUUGACCUUUGUGGUUUUUGUGAUGUACUGUAAAUUUUAUGUGAAAUAAUUAGAGAUUUGAAACAAUUAGAAGUUUGGUAAUUUUGAGUGAAAAAAGAUAUUUAGAUGAUGAAAAAUUGAUGUUGAAGAGAUGAUUAAUGGCUUGGAAGCAUGAAAUUGGCAAGAAAAUCCUCAAUCCUGAUAUGAUUGAUGUACUGUAAUUCAAGCAUGAAAUUGAAGAAAGAUAUUUAGAAGGGGAUACAAUGUUCCCAUGAUUUUGCGUAGUUUCAAUGGCAUUAAUUGGUAAAAUUUCAAUGGCAUUUUUUAAUAUAUUUCUAUUUUGUGGUUGAUUUUUUGAGGUUUGGUUUUUAAGUGUUAUUUUUCUAUGGGUACCCUAAAUUUUUCUUGUUUGGUUUUAAGUGUUUUUUGCUUGUUUUGAGCUCUACACUCUUUGGUAGGAAUACUAAAGAUGAGCGCUCAAAAAUUUGCCAAGAACUUACCCAUUGUUUUGGGUCCGGCCUUGAUACUACAUUUAUGUGUGGUCUAUUUCAGGAUUUAAAAUAUAGCAUACAAUUAUAAAAUGGAGUCCACAGAAGGCAGAAGGGGAGGACCUGGUCAGAGAGCGUGGAUACACUUUUUGUAAGUAUAAAAUUAUUGCUUUGAAUAAAGUUCUUAUUAUAAUUAUCUAUUUUGUUGAUGUAAUCAGUUGAACUAAAAUGUUGUGUACAGUAAGCAUAAAGCAGAAAAGGUGAGGCAAGAAGGGAUCAAAAAAGUUUGUAGGGCGACAAUUGUUGAAAAAUGGAAGAAAUUAACGAAUGAGGAGAAGUGCCGAUUUGGUACGAUGCAUGAGGACCCAAGUUCAAAUGUUGGUGAAAGGAGUAUUGAAAAAACAGAUGAAGAACAAAAAAUUGGGGAUAAGCAUAGCCAAUGUAAUUUAUCUCGUUGUCGUGUCAGUGCAUUCACUAAGGUCAUUUCCACAUUGUCGGCUGACCAACAAGCUGCAAUUAGAGAAAUUGGCUUCGGAAGCAUGCUAGAAUUACGAUGUGGUCGCCUGAGACAAGACUUCUGUGAAACACUUGUCCAACAAUGUGAUACAAAGAGGCACUGUAUAGUUUUGCAAGGGAGAGAGUUUUGUUUAAACCCUACAACCUUCAGCAUCGUAAUGGGGAUAAAAAAUGGAGGGGAACCAGUAAACAUCCGAGAAGAAGCGGGUGAUAUAAUUGAACUGCGUGCCAAGUAUAGAACGGGUGGAAGAGGAAUUGAAAUAGCCGCAGUUAGUGAAAGAUUGAUAGCUAGUGAGAGUAGUGAUGAUGACUUUAAGAUCAUGUUUUGUUUGUUUCUUCUAGGAACUGUAUUGUGUCCCACAAGUGCCAGCUACAUCAAUCCAACAUGUUUGGUGGAUUUUUUUCACAAAACAAAUUACAAAACACAAAAUCCGGAUUCAUUAUUAUAACUAUACAACUGAAAAUAAGUUAAACAUGUUCUCCAAAUUUUACAAACUAAACCUAAAAAUGAAUUAAAAACAACAAAGAAAUCGUGACCCUGCAGCCCUCACUUUUCUCUUCACUGCAGCCCUCACUCUCAAUCCAGUUCACUGCAGCUCCCUCUUUCCCCUCAAUUUUCUCAAUCCAGUUGCAGCAAAUCUCUCUCUUGGUCGCUCUUGGUGUGCUAGCCACUGCCGCUGCUCUUUCUCCGUUGUAACCGCUGCUGCUACUUCGUCUUUGCUCUCUCGGAUCUUCGUCUACUGCUACUUCGUUGUCACUUGCCGGUAUUUAUUUUGUUUAUAAGCUGAAAUUUUUUAGAGAUGAUUUGAGUGAUUUUUAAUUCUGGAAAUUUCUGAGGUUGUUCAUAUGUAGUGACAAAUUGUUUAUUUAUGAGCUGAAAUUUUUCCUCAUUUAUUUUAGAGAUUGUGAAAUCUCAAUUUGUGUUCAAAAAAUAAUAAUUCUAUUUCCAAGUUUGAUAAUGCAACCUAAAUUAAAAAAAAAAUCCUUCACAGAUUUGUGCGAAAAGGAAGAAAAAGAAAUGCACGAGAAAAUAAUCAAAUUGUAACUGGCAAUUUGAUUGCAGAGUAGAAUUGAAUUCAUUUUUGCAUAAACUCCCAAAAUCUCUUUUCAUAAUGCCAAAUCAUAAUCAAGAAGCUUCCUCUCAUACGAAAUUUUUAUAAUGAAUAAAUUUAUAUUGAUAUAUUAAUUCCAAAAGUAAUAAUUUUGUAUAAAUCACUUGAUGAAUUUGUGGGUCUUAAAUUGUCCUGGAAAAUAUACCCUUUAUGCUAGAGAUCUUUGAUAUUUCCACUAUUUUUUAUGAAGAAAAUAGACAUAAGAGUAUGAGAGGAAUCUUUAUUGGAUUAAAAUGGGUGUUUGAAGUAAAACAAAAAAUUUCAUUGAUGAGUGUUGUGAGAAAUUGAGUUUGUUGAGUAUUUUAAUGAAUUCAAAUAAACUUCACCUCGUACUCAAUAAUUCCACAUAUCUCAAAUGAUAUAACUAGAGUAUUGUAGAUUAAUCAUAUUGGGGGUUAUUACAUUACUGAAAAUUGAGUGGGGGAUUAAUAGCAUGUACUGAAAAUUGUAUGUUUAUAUCUAAAAAUUUAAUAGCAGUGUUUUUAAUUUGAUUAAUAUUUGAUAUAUGUUUUAUUUUUUAUUUUUUCGGGUACCAUUCAGUUUUUAAUGUAUGACAUGUUGCUGAAAUAUGUAUAUGUUAUGUUGAAUUUGAUCAUUAUUUGAUAUGUGUUAUUUUUUCUAAUUUUUCAAGAUAUGGAUGCACAUGAUGUUGAUGUUGAUGUUGAGGAUAAGGCUGAUUGGUCUACCCGGACCGAAACCGUUUUUAUUCGUAUUGUACAUGACCAUGUUAAAAAGGGUGAUUUACAAACAUCAACUUUCACUAAGAAAAUUUGGAACACUAUAAGUGAUUUACAAUCAUUUACGUGAUUAUAGAGGAUCAGGUCGAGCACCUAGAGGUCCUCAAGAAUUGUUUAAUUAUAGACAUUCAUCAUUGCGUAAUGUAAUUGAGCGAUGUUUUGGUGUUUUAAAAGCGCGAUUUUCAAUUUUAAAGGAUAUGCAUAAUUAUAGUUUACGUAAGCAACGUCUAAUUCCAAUUGCGUGUUGCGCUUUACAUAACUUUAUUCGACCAGAAAAUGCAAGUGAUAGGUUAUUUGGGGAUUUUGAUGUGCAAGAUUUGGUUACCAACGUAAAAGGAGACACUAGUAGGCCACUUACUAAUAUUGAUUUAUCUCCAACAAGUGUCGCCGAGAUGAGUGUUACAAGAGAUAGAAUUGCAGCUUCUAUGUGGCAUGAUUAUAUACGUAAUGUAUAAUGUCUAUCAUGUAUUUUUUUUAUAAUUAUUUUGUUUAAAUCAUGUGUUGUAAUAUAUAUCUUAAUUAUGAUGUAAAAACAAUGACAAUGUAAUUUUUUUUAAUUAAUGUUAAUUCUAAAACUUUAUCAUUAUGUAAAUUUUUUAUAAUUAUUUUGUUUUAAAUUAUUAUGUUGUAUUUUUCGGAUCGCCGUUAUCUAGAUGUCGGCUCGCCGUUAGUGUCCAGAGACUAAUCUUCAAUUUUGUUCGAUGUCGGAUCGCCGUUAUCUAUAUGUCGGAUCACCGUUAGUGUCCAGAGACUACUCUUCAAUUCUGUUCGAUGUCGGAUCGCCGUUAUCUAGAUGUCGGAUCGCCGUUAGUGUCCAGAGACUAAUCUUCAAUUCUGUUCUACGGCCAAGGCGGAUGUACGGUACAGCAGAUAGGAAAAAAUAUUGGUUAACUAGUUUAUAGUUUGUUGUUUAAGAUAUAAUGUGUUUAACUUGGAUGUUAUUUGGAUGUUACUGGUUGUGAACUGUGUGCUUGUUUAUUUUAUAGUUUGGACUUUGUAAUACUUUUAUUUGUUGAACUUUAUGUUAUUUUCAUAAGUUGAAAUGUGUUUGUUGAACUUUAUUUUAUGUUAUUUUUAUAAGUUGAAAUGUGUUUGUUGAACUUUAUUUAAUUUUAUUUUUGUGAGUUGAACUUUUUAUUUUUUUAGAUCAAUUAUCAUAUACUUGAAAUAUAAUCUAGGAUUUUUUUUUAAUCAGAUCAAAAAAAUGAACAACAACAACAAUGAAGAUGAUGAUAUUGACAGUUUAACAGAUAUUGAAGAAGAGGUUUUAGAGGUAGCCAUUGCUAUAAAAAAUUAUGAGAAACAACAGUGUGCUAUUAGAAGGCAAUGUUAUACAGGACAAUUGACUAGAAUUGAAUUUGUUCAAGAGUUGUUAAAUGGCCAUCCGGACAGGAUGUAUAACGUGUUUCGAAUGGAUAAAGAAGUUUUUAUUCGAUUAUAUUAUACACUUGAACAUUUACAGUUAUUAGAGAAUGAUAGACAUGUUUGUAUCAAGGAGGUUGUAGCAAUGUACUUGUAUAUAUUGUCCCAUGGCGUUGUUGUGCGGGUUGUAUCUGAGCGUUUUCAACGUUCAGCAGAAACUAUGUUUACACACUUUAAGCGUGUGUUAAAAGCAUUUUGUCACAUGGCAAAUCACAUUAUAAAACCAAAACCUCAAGGGGAAGCGCCAUCAGAAAUUAGAAACAAUCCAAUUUUUUUUUCCAUAUUUUGAGGUAAGAAAUUCAAUACACGUUACUUCAAUGUUUAUGUGACAUUAACAUUUGGUUAAUAAAUUAUUAAUUUUUUCAUAUUUUCACAGAAGCAUAUCGGUGCAAUUGAUGGAACCCGCAUUGCUGCAUGGUCACCAGCACAGAAACAGAUAUCAUAUCGAGAUAGAAAGACUCAGGUGACUCAAAAUAUCAUGUGUGCAUGUUCUUUUGACAUGAUGUUUACAUUUGUAUACACGGGCUGUGUUGUGUCUACCAAACGCAUAUUACAGUUUUUAGUUUUAAAAUAUAGGAUACAUAAAAUGAUACCAGACGCAUAAUUAAAUUCGAAAUACAGUAAAUGCAAAACAUCAUUUUCAUUUUCGUUUUUAUUCUAAAAAAAUACAGAUUCAAAAACAAUACCAAACAGGCCCUUAGAUGCCAUAAUUAAUUUGCCAAAUACGAAAAAUAAAAUGUCGUAGUAAUUGUUUUUUGAAUGAACAGUCUGCUGUACCGUACAUCCGCCUUGGCCGUACAGCAUAAUGUGUGAAUCAAAUUUUCUGCAGCUUGAAAGAAAUUUCCCUCAUUUUAAACAAACCGAAGAUGCUGGGCCAAGCACUGUUAAUAUAGAGGAAGCUUUUAGGGUACUAACACAGUGUGUCCACAGAAUUGAACACAAAAUGGAUUCGUUCAAUGUGAGAAUGGAAAUGGUUGAGAAGUCUUUGGAGGAAUUGAGAUCAAAGUCUCCGGUUGGUGCACCAUCAAAACAACCAUCUGAUCCAUGCCAGCCAUCUCCGAGCUUGAAAAUAGUAGAACCAACAUGUCCAGUCAGAAAAACCGAGCCAACCACUGAUGGAAAAAACAAAAUGGUAAUGGAUAGCGACGAGGACUCUGUGGAUCGCAGAUUGAACCUGAGCCUCGAUAAAAUAAUGGGCUGGAUGGGGACAAGAGAAAGAAUCGGUGAAUUUCGCAAAGAUCAUACCCACUUUGUCCCUAUUCCACCACCUAAUCUCCGAGAUGAGGUACAAUUUUAUAACGUCGUUUUCUUAAAAUUAUUUCGAUGAUAACUCACUUAUGAAGUAACUUACAUAUAAAUUUAUUUUUUAUAAAGGAUAUAGACGAACCAGUUCAACUUAAGCAAGAACCUCAAACAUCUACUAGUGUAAGUGUCCUGCCAACGCGACCAAGUAGGAAUCGUAGGCCAGGCCGAUAUCAACUUUCACCGUACGAUCAAGUGUCAAGGGGAGCAAAUCCCAAGUAUAAAGCUGGUCCGUUUCAAGUCAAUGAUCCAGUUAUGCUGGAAGAAUGAAGCUUAUUCAAUAUGCUUUUAACAAAAAGGCUGACGCAAGGUAAAAUUUAGAAGACUGAAAUUAGUUUUCUAUAUAUAGUUAUUAUGCUAUACGACAAAAAAAUUACCGUCUUUUGUCUUUAGUGAAAUCGUUGUUUCUAGUUACGACGAAAUUCUUAAUCGGCAUUCUUUAUUGACUCUUUUGCCGGGGGCUUAUUUAUGUGGCGAGGUAUUAGGUUUCAACAUUUGGUGAUGUCACAAUAUAUGUUUGUCCUUUAUUAUAUGUUAUUAUAUAUCUCAAUAAAUAUGAUCACUUUUAGGUGAUUUCUAUGAAAACGCAUCACCUCACCCUCAUUCAGUAGGUGGUGGAGAAAGAUGUGCCAAUGAACUGGUAUUUACCAACAAGUAUAAAGGAUAUAGACGAACCAGUGCAACUUAAGCAAGAACCUCAAACAUCUACUAGUGUCAGUGUCCUGCCAACGCGACCAAGUAGGAAUCGUAGGCCAGGCAGAUAUUAACUUUCACAGUACGAUCAAGUAUUGAGAGGAGUAAAUCCCAAGUAUAAAGCUGGUCCGUUUCAAGUCAAUGAUCCAGUUAUGCUGGAAGAAUGAAGCUUAUUCAAUAUGCUUUUAACAAAAAGGCUGACGCAAGGUAAAAUUUAGAAGACUGAAAUUAGUUUUCUAUAUAUAGUUAUUAUGCUAUACGACAAAAAAAUUACCGUCUUUUGUCUUUAGUGAAAUCGUUGUUUCUAGUUACGACGAAAUUCUUAAUCGGCAUUCUUUAUUGACUCUUUUGUUGGAGGCUUAUCUAUGUGGAGAGGUAUUAGGUUUCAACAUUUGGUGAUGUCACAAUAUAUGUUUGUCCUUUAUUAUAUGUCAUUGGAGUUCCAAAGCAAAGGAAUGGAUAUGACUGUGGGGUUUAUGUGAUAAACUAUAUGGACAACCCAGAAUUUAUUCCGAAGAAAUCGUCAACUUUGGUACGACUAUGCCAAACUUGUUUAAUGGUUGAACUCAAAAUUUUGUUAACUUCAUAAUUAUAUAAAACCUAUUAGUUAUAUGAAAGUAAUAUUAGUUUCCUUUCAAAUUGACUAGUACACAUCUGAGGAUACACGGGGUAGGCUAGCCAUUCAACUAAUUAAUUCUGCAUUGAAUCAAAAUCGAGAUAAAUUGCUAGAACUAAGCAGCGCACAGUUUGCGAUUCAUGCUGUAAUGGUGAACCCUGUACCUGGGAGCUUAUCUAUGUGCCGAGGUAUUAGGUUUCAACAUUUGGUGAUGUCACAAUAUAUGUUUGUCGUUUAUUAUAUGUUAUUAUAUAUCUGAAUCAAUAUGAUCACUUUUAGGUGAUUUAUAUGAAAGCGCAUCACCUCACCCUCAUUCAGCAGGUGGUGGAGUUAUAUGAAAGUAAUAUUAGUUUCCUUUCAAAUUGACUAGUACACAUCUGAGGAUACACGGGGUAGGCUAGCCAUUCAACUAAUUAAUUCUGCAUUGAAUCAAAAUCGAGAUAAAUUGCUAGAACUAAGCAGCGCACAGUUUGCGAUUCAUGAUUUUUUUCAUGAUCUAUUUAACAUUAUCAGUUAUGUAUAUUGUGUUAUAUUCAUAUCCAUAAUAUUGUCUGGUUUUCGACAUUGCCGACAGCUACAUUCCUUGGAUUGGAUUCUGCAGCCCCAAUUGCCAAGCAAUAUGCAAAACGUGAAGUUUCAAGACUUUCCAAUCAACCGGGACAUUGGAGUUCCAAAGCAAAGGAAUGGAUAUGACUGUGGGGUUUAUGUGAUAAACUAUAUGGACAACCCAGAAUUUAUUCCGAAGAAAUCGUCAACUUUGGUACGACUAUGCCAAACUUGUUUAAUGGUUGAACUCAAAAUUUUGUUAACUUCAUAAUUAUAUAAAACCUAUUAGUUAUAUGAAAGUAAUAUUAGUUUCCUUUCAAAUUGACUAGUACACAUCUGAGGAUACACGGGGUAGGCUAGCCAUUCAACUAAUUAAUUCUGCAUUGAAUCAAAAUCGAGAUAAAUUGCUAGAACUAAGCAGCGCACAGUUUGCGAUUCAUGCUGUAAUGGUGAACCCUGUACCCUCUCAAGUGCAAAAGCCAUUUCACCAACAAAGCGGCAACAUUCGUAAGAAGAAGAAAGUUAACACGAGAACGCGCGCUUAGAUAUCGAACCAUACUAGGGAAUGAUUAUGCAAGUGAUUGCAUACUAUUUUUUUUUGUAAGUUGUUUGAAACGUGUUGGGAGGUCAUACCGUGACUUUUUUUGUCUUCUUGCUUACGAUGGUUGUAAAAUCAAUUUUAAUGGAGAAUUAUCUUUAAAUUUAUGACAUGGUUAUGUAUUCUCGGCCGAGACAUUAUUUAACUAUAAUGAACAUAUGCAUGUUAACAGUGUUCACAUCUCAUCAUUUGAUAUUGAACUGGUUGUCAUGUUGGUACAUGAUAGUGGAAUUCAAAUGGUAAUACAUAUUGACUCAUUUUAAUGGCACUGAUUAAUGAGGCCACCAAUAAAAAACAUUAGAAAAUCGGUUGCUUGCAUGACCUAACAAUGUUGGAUUGACACCAGCAAAGGCUCCAGGAUUCUGGGUGCUUGAUGAAUCGACUGCGGCAAAACAACAAAUGGAUUGAUUAUGAGGCAUUUCACACUUAGUGAGUACCAAUUAUAGGUGUUGACAUUAUUCGAUGCGUACGAUUGUCUUUGUGCUUUUAGCACAAUAUAUAAUUCAUAAAAUUUAAAUCCAGUUAUUUCUUAGAGUUCUAGAAAUAAGCAGGGGCAAGAAACUAUGACUAUGAACUGGCACCCCACACACGGAUCCUCUGUUCAAUUGGAACCCGACAACAUGGACAUGUAGCUUUCCCCUUCUUUCCAUAAUUGUCACUGCAAUUGGCACACAAAACUUGGUGCGCACAUGGCAAGAAAACAAUUGAAACUUCAUCUUUCAAACAAAUUAUACAUUCCCUAUCACAGUUGGUUUUUUCUGAUCGCAGCCGAGUGAGGCAGUUUGCUGUUUUUUCUUGGAGACGAAACCGGAUAGCCGGUUAUUCAAACCGGAAAUUCGGAUUCGCUUGGCUAGGUCACUGCCCACAACCGGUUAGCCGGUUAAGAAUUUCCGGAUAGCCGGAUUCGCGAGUAUAUAAACUGUUCAUCUCCUCAUUUAUCUUUUGGUAAACCGGUUAGCUUUCUCUCUCUAAAACUGAUUAUUCCUCUCUCAUUUUCUCUCCAAAAUCCAUCAUUUUCACAUGUUUUUUAUACAAAUGGAUCCAUGAAACUUGUUUCCCAUCCGGUCUUGUAUCCAAAAUCAUCCUUUAAACCUUUUUUUCAACCUCAAAAUCAAUAGAUCCGAAAUCAAUUCUAGGGUUUAAGUCGAAACUUCUCUCUCUAUAUUUCUCCCUCUGAAGCCGUUUUUGAUUGAAAUUGCUUCUCAAAAUCUCUUUCCAUCCUUAUUAUCUCCCUUCUCAUUGAUUUAUUUCACUUCAAAUCAAACAAAUUCACCAUGUCAAGCUCACGGCCGGUUCGAAGAAAAGGCAAAUAACUGGUUCAACAUACCAACCGGUCACGACAAGCAGGGGGCACAUCCAAUAAAUCCAACUUUGAGGCCACACACUUUCAGAACCACAAACAUCUAGCCAAACGAUUUCACCAACAGUUCAUGACUCGUGAGGUACUCUAAACCUUUUUUGUUUUACCGGAUUGGUUGAAUAAUCUUAGUAUUAGCAAUAGAACUUUAUUGCAAUUGUUGGAAGAUGUUGGUUGGCUUAAUGCAAUUGUUUUUUAGGAAAAUGUAUAUCCCGACUUGGUGAAAGUGUUUUACUCGAAUAUGGAUUGUUUCGCGGAGAAAGAGAAUCGAGUAAUCACCACAGUUGGAGGAGUUUCGAUUGAGUUUGAUGAUUCGGAGUUGAACUAGAUCAGGCCAUUUGGAUGAGGUUUCUCAUAUGGAUGUUGCCUUGAUUGAUUGUAUUCUUAGACAUCGUCCAGUCGACUUAGGAUACACCAUUGUCCGAAACAUGCUUAGUAUACCUAAGUUGAUUACUCGUUCCCUUCCGUAUGGUCAUUUCAUCACCCGAAUCCUCAAAUACUUUAGCGUCCAUAUCCAAGAACCAUCAUGUAGGCCAUCUAAGAGCAUUGGGGAUGAGGCUGUUAGUUCUUUAGGUUUUGAGUGUCGUAAUGGCACUUGGGUAAAAGUCACUGAUAAUAAGUUCACCUUUCUUGCUCCAAGUGAUGAUCGGCCACUUAAUGCUGUGGUUCCAGCCCAUCAGCUACCUGUUUUUUCGCUUUCAUUUCGGGGUCAGCGUAGACGUCGAGCUCCUUCAGUAUCUCCCUCGGCUCCUACAGCCUCUGCACCUGCUUUACCACAUCCCGAGCCUCCUACUUCUGAAGAAGUUACUCUUCAACAGCUUAUGGAUGAGGUGAGGACACUCUCUGUGCGGCAGACUAAGUUUCACCAGCAGCAGCAGCAGCGUAUUCAUGGACAGCGCAUCCUCUUUGAGCACUUCGGCAUUCCAUAUCCAUAUCCAUCUCCAUCACCACCAUCCUCACCACCUCAGUAGUCUCUUAUGCUUGUAUUUGGACACACCUACAUUUCAUUAUAAUUUAUGGAGUUAAGUUGUUUUUCAUAAUCUUUGAUUUUAAUAUAUUGAUGAUUAUGUUCAUAUUGAUGCUGUUGAGAAUAUAUGUCGUCGUAUUGACCUUUCGGAUGAUGAUUGUACUAUCCAUUUUCGCACCCAAUGUCUUUGUCUUCAAACUCGGAUAUUACUUCGUUUUAUUCAGAGUAUUGUGCUUCCUAGAUCAGGCCAUUUGGAUGAGGUUUCUCAUAUGGAUGUUGCCUUGAUUGAUUGUAUUCUUAGACAUCGUCCAGUCGACUUAGGAUACACCAUUGUCCGAAACAUGCUUAGUAUACCUAAGUUGAUUACUCGUUCCCUUCCGUAUGGUCAUUUCAUCACCCGAAUCCUCAAAUACUUUAGCGUCCAUAUCCAAGAACCAUCAUGUAGGCCAUCUAAGAGCAUUGGGGAUGAGGCUGUUAGUUCUUUAGGUUUUGAGUGUCGUAAUGGCACUUGGGUAAAAGUCACUGAUAAUAAGUUCACCUUUCUUGCUCCAAGUGAUGAUCGGCCACUUAAUGCUGUGGUUCCAGCCCAUCAGCUACCUGUUUUUUCGCUUUCAUUUCGGGGUCAGCGUAGACGUCGAGCUCCUUCAGUAUCUCCCUCGGCUCCUACAGCCUCUGCACCUGCUUUACCACAUCCCGAGCCUCCUACUUCUGAAGAAGUUACUCUUCAACAGCUUAUGGAUGAGGUGAGGACACUCUCUGUGCGGCAGACUAAGUUUCACCAGCAGCAGCAGCAGCGUAUUCAUGGACAGCGCAUCCUCUUUGAGCACUUCGGCAUUCCAUAUCCAUAUCCAUCUCCAUCACCACCAUCCUCACCACCUCAGUAGUCUCUUAUGCUUGUAUUUGGACACACCUACAUUUCAUUAUAAUUUAUGGAGUUAAGUUGUUUUUCAUAAUCUUUGAUUUUAAUAAAUUAUUGUUUUGAAUUUCGGAUUUGGACCUAUUUCAAAAUAUUUAAAUGUUUUGGGUCAUUCUAUAAUUUCUCAUAUUUUGGAUCAUAUCUUAAUUUCAAAAAGUUUUGAGUUUAAUAAAGUAAUAAUUAGGAAUUCUAAAAUUGGACCAAUUUGGAAAUUUUUAUAACGUUUUGGGUCAUAACAUAGUUUCAUACAAUUUUGAGGUUAAACUGUAUUUUUAAAACAUAAUUCAUUGUAACACUUCACGUAGAAUAUACAACUUAUCACGUAAAGUUCGUAACUUCGACAUCAAACAUGAAACGGACGAGAAUAUUUCAGAAUAUUCUUUAUUUUGGCUUAAUUCAACACAUGCAACAUCUUACGUCAAAUAUGAAAUCCAACCGUCAGAUAUGCAACAACAUACGUUAAACAUGAAACUUGCAAUACUUCACGCCAAACUUAUCACGUAAAGUUCACAACUUCGAGGUCAAACAUGAAACGGACGAGAAUAUUCUAGAAUAUUCUUUAUUUUAGCUUUAUCAAAAACUUGCAACAUCGCACGUCAAACAUGAAAUCCUACCGUCCAACAUGCAACAACUGACGUUAAACAUGAAACUUGAAACACUUCACGUGAAAUCUACGACUUAUCACGUCAAGUUCGCAACAUGGACAUCAAACAUGAAACGGGGGAGAAUAUUCGAGAAUAUUAUUUAUUUUGGCUUUAUUCAAGACAUGCAACCUCUAACAUCAAACAUGCAAUCGAGACGUCGGAUAUGCAACAACUGGCGUUAAACAUGAAACUUGCAACACUUGAUGUGAAAUAUACGACUUAUCACGUCAAGUUCGCAACAUGGACACUUCACGCGAAAUAUGCAACUUAUCACGUAAAGUUCGCAACUUCGACGUCAAACAUGAAACGGACGAGAAUAUUCGAGAAUAUUCUUUAUUUUGGCUUUAUCCAAAACAUGCAACAUUUAACGUCAACAUGAAACCGAGACGGCCGGCAUGCAACAACGGAUGUUAAAACAUGCUAUUUGCAAUACUGCACGUGAAAUAUGCAACUUAUCACGUAAAGUUCGCAACUUCGACGUCAAACAUGAAACGGACGAGAAUAUUCGGGAAUAUUCUUUAUUUUGGCUUUAUUCAACACAUGCAACAUCUUACGUUAAACAUGCAAUCGAGAUGUCGAACAUGCAACAACUGACGUUAAAACUGAAAUACUAUUUUCUCACUUCCCAAACACCUGUAAUAUAAUUUUUUUUUUAGAUUUUAUUAUUUUAGAAAAUUAUAUUUUGUACAUGAUGAAAUAACUUUAAUCGGUGAAAUCUAAAAAUUAAAGGAUAAGACUAUUUGAACUCAUAAAAGUAUUUAUUAUAUGAAGAUAGUUUAAGAAUAUAAAAUUUUAGAUGAAAAUUGGUUUGAACUUUGAAGAGUAAUCUUAGGGGCUAGAGUAACAAGCUAACUGCAAUUUUUCAUUAUAUUGGGGUGAAAAUGUAAAUGAAAGAGAGAGUCAGGAGCUAACUGCAAUUUGCCAGUACUCAUCUCGCAAAAGACAAAAACUGGGGUUAUGGCGUCGUAGGGACACCGUAGCCGGAACCUCGUGUAUAUAAGAUACAUUUCUGUCUUCAAAACGAUUUUUUAUUGAUCAUUCAUAAUUUAAAUAAUUCAAAAAGAGUUAUUUCCUUUUUUGGAAUUAUCCAAAUUUAUCAUGGAUAAAUCUAUCAAAUUUAGCUAAAAAAAUUGAAAAGCAAAGAUGUAAUGAGAUCUUUUAGGGGUGUUCGCAGAUCGGAUUUUACAAAUUAGACAUCAAUCCAUAUCCGAUCCACAAUUUUGUGGAUUAUAAUUUUUCAAUCCAAUCCAAUCCACGGAUUGAUUAAACUCAAUCCAAAUUCAAUCCAUACUUCUGCGGAUCGGAUGCGGAUUUGACUAAAUCCAUAUCUAAUCCAUACGUUUGCGGAUUGGAUGCGGAUUUAACUUAAUUCAUAUCCAAUCCACCAUUUUACGCAUUAGUUUCUGAAUUAAAAAUUUUUAGUUCUCCCCAAUCCAUGAACUAAUGAAAUUAAAAAAAAUCUAAUAUAAAAAUAAUUAAAAUUGAAUAAAAUUUAAACAAAUUAAUUGUUUAAAUAAAACUAAAAUAAUACAUUCAAAGUUUCAAAAUAUAGCACAUUGAGAUUAAUUGUUCAAAUAAACCUACAAUAAUACGUUUAAAGUUUCAAAAUACAACACACUAAGAUUAAUUGUUCAAAUAAAGUUACAAUAAUACAUUAAUAUAACAUCGAAAUUAAUUGUUCAAAUAAAGUCACAAUUAAUUGAAAUGGCAAAGUUUAUGAAACCAAACACAGUCUGAUCCUUCACCAGGGCUAUUGCACUUGUCUUAAAGUGGUGAUUAUGGAGCCGUCAACGAUGGGAACCAGGAGAAGUACGGGUGGCGAUCUUGAAGGUUGUGAUAGUGCAAUUGUUUGGCUGGAACUAGUGAUUGUGAAGUGGUUCGAUGGACUCGGGGAAGAAGAUGGCUUGCUCUCGCUGGAAUCACGUGGUCGAUGUCCUUCAAAUCGGUGUCGAGAGUGUAUCGAACCAGUAUUGGGUGUUGCUAGUGCGUGUGACGGCAGAAAAGCUUAGGGUUUUUUGUUUGCAAAUUAUUGGUGACUUGGCGUUAUGUUAUUUUGCUUUUGGGUGACUUUGCAAAUUGUUAGUAACUUGGCGUUAUGUUACUUUGCUUUUGCUAAUGCGUGUGACUUUGCUUUUAUUUUGUUGUAUAAUUUUUACAAGUUAUAUUUGUAUAUUUGUAUAUUUGAUUAUUUAAUUAUUUUUUAUUUAAUAUUAUUAUUGGGUAAUGGCUAAGAUAUGUUAUAAUGCUUAUGUAACUAUGUAAUGUCAUAUUUAUAAUAUUCUUUAAUUAAAUUUAUAAUAAUUUUUUAACUAAAUAAACAAAUAUAUAUAUAUAUAUAAUUUUUUUUGCGGAUUCACGGAUUUUUACGGAUUUACAGAAGUAAAUCCAUAUCCAAUCCAUCAACUGCGGAUUUCUAAAUUUUCAAUCCAUAUCCAAUCCACGGAUCCACGAAUCGGAUUUAUACAGAUCGAAUUUUCACGGAUCAUACGGAUUGAGCGGAUCGAAUUGGAUUCUAAACACCCCUAAGAUCUUUUAUAAACUAUCGGAUGUAAAGAUCAUUUACCCAAUAUAUAAUAUAAGUAGGAAUAAUGUUGUAAAAGUGCAAACGCAGUCACAAAUAACGCUAAUUUUCAGCGGUACUCAGAAAUCCUCUUAAGCAUACCAAAGGCCUUAUUAUCUCGGGUAUAUCUUCGCCGUAAAGAUAAUGACAAAGUACGCCUUUAUCGAUGACAGCCAUUGCACCCUCAGCAGCAGCUCUAUGAUCAAAAGGAAGUUUUAAUGCUAAGUAAUCACGAGCCAUUCUUGCGAGGGUAGGAUAAAAUGGAGCAUUGCCACGCCACCAAGCUAGUAUGUCAAACUCUUCUACUGCUGGUACUUUAAGCUCUUUCAUAUACAGAUCAAGUUCUGAUUUUGGUGAUGAAGGCCUCCCCAUGGCGUCUGGCAUUUCAUAUGACUUUGAAUUGUUGGAGUCGGUUGCUGCAUAUGCAUCAUAAACGUCUCUAAAAUCUUCAUUAAUUUUCUCAAGGUAUCUAUCAGCAUCACUGCCAUAUAUCUCUUUGCAACGAAGUUGCACGCCAUCCAUUUUGAACCGUGGGUCGAGAAUUACUGCAAUAGCUCUAAUCGAAUAAUAAUUGCUAAAAUAUAGAUCAAUAGCUGCCUUCAUCACUUUUUUACAAAAAAGACAAUCUUCAAUUGGGUGGUUGCAUCGAUCCUUUAAUAUCUUAUGCACGUAUGGAAGAUCUACAAUUAUUGGAGUAUCACAUUUACCCGACGAAAAGCCGACAGCAGCAUCCUUCAAGAAUUUCAAAUGCUCAAAUGUGGCAGUUACAUCAUCCCAUUUUUGUUCAGUUAAAUUAAUUGAUCUAAAAUCGGAAUCUAAUUGCCCCAGCUCAAAAAAUGCUUCUUUAAAGCCCAUUGCCGUCGCAAAGUACUUAAAAUGUCCCCAGGGAUCAGGAACACGAUUGAGCCAGCAAAUGGCUCUUUGUACAUCACCAUCCAACUGAAUUCGUUCAUCUGAUCCCGACUUGUUAACCACAUAAUGAGCACACUCCUUUAAGGACUGUAUCCCAUCCCUGAAGUAAUCUUCGGAUCGCAAUACACCAUCAAUAUAAUCCAUUAAACGAUCGGCAUUACGCAGGCAGCCGGCAAAAGAAGAGAACCUUGUUGACUAAACCAACUUUCCUCAUCAUAUGCUGGAUGAAUUUGAAAAGGAACAAGUACAGAGCAUAUUUUCCCAUGGAUACUCAAACAUGAAUAUUAUAAAUUUUGAUCAUAUUCAGGAUAUGCAGACAACUUUUGCCUUCAAAGAUCUAGGUAACCUUAAUUAUUUUCUAAGAGUUGAAGUUACCAAAGCAUUUGAUGGGAUUCAUUUGCCACAAACCAAAUACAUUGAUGAUCUUUUGGCCAAAAAUGGCAUGGCAAAAUGCAGUUCAGUACCUACAUCUAUGUCCACAGGGCAUUGUCUCACAAAGGAUUCAGGGAUGUUAUUGAAAAUUCAUCUCAAUACAGGAGUAUUAUAGGUGCAUUGCAAUGUGUCUCUCACCAGGCCAGAAAUAGCUUUCUCAGUUAAUAAAUUCAGUUUCUAGCUUGUCCUAUAACUCAACACUGGGAAACUUGCAAACGACUGCUAAGAUACUUGAGAGGAACUAUCAAGUUUGGCUGCACUUCUUAACCUGUGGAGAUAUGCAGCUUAGCUGUUUCACAAACUCUGACUGGGCUUGUGAUCGAGAUGAUCAAAAAUCUGUGGCUGGAUUUUCCAUUUAUCUAGGCCCCAACCUAGUUUCUUGGUCUUCAAAGAAGCAAUCUGUUGUGCCCAGGUUAAGCACAGAAGCUAAGUAUCGAGCCUUAGCUCAUGCUGCAUCAGAGGUAAUUUGGAUACAAUCUUUACUUGCAGAGCUGCAAAUCAAGCUCAAUACAACCUCAAUUAUUUGGUGUGACAAUCAUGGAGCAAUUGCCUUGGCAUAUAACCUAGUGUAUCAUGCUAGAAAAAAGCACGCUGAACUGGACAUACACUUUGUCAGAGAUAAAGUUGUAGCUAAGGUAAUAGAAGUUUGUUUUAUACCUAGUACAGACCAAACAGCAGAUAUUUUGACCAAGGCACUUACCAAUGGCCAUUGGCCAGUUUGACAAUUUGCGCAGCAAGCUGAAUGUUCAUCCUAGACAUUUCAGCUUGAGAAGGGACGAUAAUGAAUAUAAGGAUGCAAAGGAUGCAGAACAUAAUAAUAUUGUGUUGACAACAGCUGCUGAUUAGCUUGCUAAGCUAGCUGAUGUGGCAAAAUUAGUUGGUUAGUUAGAAUAUACAAAGUGUAGCAAUCUCAGCUUACUAUAAAUAUGUAAAACUGUAUGUACUCCCGUUUGUUAAUCAGAUUAUCUACAAGCUUCCAUUAAAUUGUACAAAGUUUAUUUCAAUGAUUUUCUCUCAACUUUCUAGCUCGCCAAACAUCUUCUUCAAAUUCGCUCACUUAGUAGUUCUCACAUUAACUUUUUCAUUAUAGUGUUUCGGUUUCUUUUAAGUCUACUCAUCCAUGAUUAAAGAGAACAACAGAAAGAAAAAGAAAAAAAAAAGAUAAGUAAAGACCUUAUCAGAACUUCGAAGACUUUGUUUAUAUCUAUAGAAUUAUAUUGAGAGCUAAAAAUGUCAUACGUUUUAGUACAGUUUAGUAAGUCUUUUUUGUUAUUUUACUUUUUCUAUUUUAGUUGAAUUUGUCUAAAUAAUUUUAUUAUUUCGCUUACUCUAAUCUCUUGUGCGAUGUAGAUAUAUAAAGAUAUGACUUUAUACAAACUCUCCAUAAAAUCCAAUUAAUAAAAACAACUAUACAAACCAUGCUACAUUUAUUCAAUUAAUACUUUUAUGCCAUAUUAGUUUAUGUAAAAGAUUGAUGGUUGUUUAUCCUUUAUUUUAAAUUUAAAAGGAAAAAAAAACUUACCUAAAUUACUGAUUUCUUAUUGGGAGGGAAACCCAACAAAAAAAGGGAGAGAGAGAGAAAGAAACAAAGAAAAGGUAAAGCAAAAAAAAAAAAAAAAUCACUGAACUAAAAAGUAAAUUGAGAGGAAAGAACAAUUGACCCCAUUUUCAGCCAGCUUUUCUCAUAGCUUUUGGGAUCAUAUUGUCAUUUAUUAUAGAAUUAUAAUAAGGCUAAUUAAUUUCUUCGGAGCUUAGAAGACUUCUAUAUAAACAAAUAUCUAUUAAUUGCUAUUAAGUCUUUUUAUUUAUUUCUAAUUUUUCUCAUUUUAGUUGAAUUUGUCUAAAUUAUUUGAGUAUUAUUUAGCUCAGUCUAAUCUCUAGUCCGAUAUUGAUAUAUAGAGAUGUGACUUCACAUGAACUUUCAACAAAAUCCAAUUAAUAUUGAUCAUGUUGUAUUUAUUCAAUUAAUCUUUUGCACCACAUAUUAGUUUAUUAAAAAAAAUGAUGGUUGUUUAUCCUUUAUUUUAGAUUUUAAAAAAAAAUAACUUAUCUAAAGUACUGAUUACUUAGAAUUUGAAAAAAUUAAAAAAGGAAACAAAGAAAAGAUAAGCAAAAAAAUCACUAAAGUAAAAGUAGCACUACAAAGGAAAUUGUGGGGAUAGAACAAGUGACCCAUUUUAGACAGCUCUUUUCAUUGGCUUUUUGAGCCAUAUUGGCAUUCAUGACAGACUUAGGCUCGUUUGAUAUAACUUUUUAAAAAGAACUUUAAUAAGUAGAAUUUUUGUUAGUAAAAUUUAUAUUAAAAAAAUUUAUGUGUUUGGUUGCUAAUGAAAGCUUUUAUUAAAAAUUAUAAAAUUACUUUAAUAAACAAGGUUUUUAAAGUUAUCUUAUAAAAAGAAUAAAUAAAAUUGUCAAAUAAAUAAAUAAUAUUUUAUACAUUUUAAUAAUUAAGAAAAAAACUUUUCAACCUCUACUCUCAUUUGAGCUUUUGCUAGUAUAUGUAAAAUAAUCUAUUUAAUCUUCAAAAACUCUACUAAAAAAACAACUAAACAACAACAAAAAUUUUGAUAAAAGCUUAUAAGAUUAAACAAGUACUAUAAUCAUCAAAUAAGCAUACUUAAUAGGUAAUUAUAAUAUAGCUUCAUUAAUUUCUUCAGAUAUUCGAGGACUUAUUUAUACACACACACACAUUGAGAGCUCACAAGAUAGAUAGAACCAGUUCUCUGAUUGAAGAGAUAGAGGUUGGAGCUUGGAAGGAGAAAGAUAACUAAAAGAGGAGGAUCUGCAACUCUCAUUCAAUUUUAUCAGCAACCAAGUAUUUUCAAGAAAGCAUUUUGUAUUAAUUUUGUAUCAUUUUUUCAUAUCUUUAAUCGUUUUAUUAUUAUUAUCACUAUUACUGAGUUAUAAAAACACACACACUUUGGUUUACUUAAUUGAAACAAAAAAGAGUGAGUUUGAUGUGGUAACUGGUAUGUUAUCUGUUUGUUUUGCAGGCUGUAAAUUCAAGUUUUAAACCGGUAACUGCUAGUCUACUGGCCAUGAAGGUGCGUUUGUCUUACUCUCUAUAGAUUAAUAACGGUCUAAAUACAAAAGGCAUACAGAGAGCAUAACUGUUAUUUACUAAUGUUAAUGAAAAAGUGGAGAAUUUUUGGGUGAUUUAUUUUUGGAUGUGAUGGCAAGCAUGUCUUAUUUAUAAAAUUGAGGGUGUUGACCUUGCAACAACAAUCUAUGUGAAGGCAGCCUAACUACUAGUGAUUUGUGGACUUUGUGUCGUUCCAUCUUCAAUAGUUGUUUAUGCUUUAAUCGCAAAAGUAAUUUAGUAGCUUCAUAUAUUUGAGCUAGCACAUCUGUGAAACCUGGCGAUAGCAAUUGGGAUUUCAUGCACGAACGAAAAAAUAGACGUCGUCCUCGAAUCAGAUUGUGUUAAAAAAGUUCAGGAAUUAUAUUCUUGAUGUUCGAAGCAGUGACCUUGUUAACAAGCCCGUUGAUACUCUUACAGAGAGCAUCCCAUGUCAAACGACACUGCUGCUGCUGCGGCCGCUGAUACUCCACACUGCUUUCAUCAUCUUUCAUCAUCAUCAUCAUCAGUGCCGACUUAAUAGGCAGAAUAUAAACCCCUCCAGUCCCACCCAAACUUCUCAGUGAAGAAUCACUGUUCAUGGCAUUACCUUCUUGCCUCGUACUUUUACUAGCCAUAACCACCCUAAUCUACUUAACUCCCACGAGAAUUAAUGUUAUCAAUUCCAAUAUAAACAGUUUAAGGCAAAAUAAAUUGUGACUCUGAUUGCUAAAAUGCAGGGUACUAUGUUAAGCAAAAGCAAGGCAACACCACAAGUCCUCGUCGUAUUUGUUUGUGUUGCAGUGCUUUUGGUUUUGUGUGUGUGUAUAAUGGUGCUCACGUAAAAAGACCAACUUUAAUGUACUUUUUUUAAUCUUUUUAAUAUUUAUUGAAAUUUAUAUUUAUAUAAACUAGUUCUGAUAAAACUUGGAUUUUGUUUCUUCGGCCCGAUCGAGUGAUCCGUCAAUAAUGGAACCUGAUGCAGUCGAUUUAAUCUUUUAUGAUAAAUAAUAAGCUCAUUUUUAUAUCUUCAAAAUUUAUUGUGCAUAUUUUUAUUUUUUUGGGGUUCCGAGGGGUUGGGUUGACGUUUUUUUAACAGAUAUAAGCAUAUAUAACUCGUAAAUGGAUGAUGGACGUCUGUUACAGCCUUAGAACUCGAGGCACGCCAAUGCUUGGCUUGCGGCCUUGUGCCAAGCAUAAUGAGGCAGCGGACGUGCGAGAAAACAAGGCAAGUCUGCACGCGGGCUGGGGCGUGGCAGCAACUAGCGGGCUGAUGGGCAGCACGCGAGAUAUGUGCGAGGCAGCGCACAAGUGGUCCGAGGGUAUAGCGCGCACACGAAUGUGCGCAAGGCAUGUGCACGCUGAUGGGCAGCGGGCGAGCGUACGCAGCGGGCAGCAUGCAGCAUGCGCGCGCACAAAACGCGCCAGGCAGCACGCACGCGCACGCUUACGGAUAGCGGACAGGCGCGCCAAGGGAGCGCACACGCACGGAACAUGUGCCACACACAAGCAUCAGGCCAAGGGGAUUAUGGUCCGCCACUAUUCAAUGUAACGCAAUAAUAGUGUAUGGGCAAAGUACUAGGGUAGUGGGCUUAAUUGUUUAGUGAGCUGGUGGGAGACGAAGAAUAUUGUGGGAUUACAUUAUUCUUAUCCUAGUGAGUGGGGUUGUCACUCACAAAUGCUAUAUAUAGCAUUGGGGGAGAGAGCUUCGGCGAG